This 48844-nucleotide long non-coding RNA is filed under the name Triticum aestivum (bread wheat). RNAcentral's name for it is "long non-coding RNA (TAES_LNC022780)". The record is from RNAcentral. Lineage: Eukaryota; Viridiplantae; Streptophyta; Magnoliopsida; Poales; Poaceae.
UCAAAUUUAGUUCGAAUUGCAGCGGUAGUAUAGACAUUUGGAAUGCACUAAAAUUUUGGUAUGAGUAGGUCACAUGCAUUAUACAACAAGCGAAAAAAAUUAAUCGGACAUAACAUGGAUUCAUACUCCCUCCUUCUAUAUAUAUAUAGGGCGCAAUGAGUUUUUUAAGACUGCCUUUGAAUAUUGACAAGAUUAAUAGUGCAUGACAUGCACAAUGUGAAAAUUAUAUCAUUGAAAGAACCUUUCACAGAUGAAUUUAACGGUGUGCUUUGCGUAAGUUGCAUGUCAUAUAUUAUUGCUCUAAUAUUUGGUCAAAGUUAGCAUUGAAAAACGCAUUAGGCCCUAUAUAGAUGGAAGGAGGGAGUAGCUUUGAAUAGUAAAACAGGGCAAGACUCUCUCUUUGUGUGGUGUGAAUAGUUUUACUUUUUUCAUUUUCUUUUUGGUUGAGGGAAGUGCGAAUUGAUUUCGUACGUACAAGUACAAUAUUACAACAUGUUAGGCUUGUCCCUAAAAUUCAACCCGCGUCUUGUUAUAUCCCGAAAAUUCAGAUAUCGUGCUCCCAAAACUGGCACCUUCACAACCCGCGCCUUGCUAUCCCGAAAUUACAACGCGCGCGAAAACUCCCUCCAGCUGUCAAAUCCCGACACGCGAAAUCCCCCUUCUAACCCUGAGCCAAAAGGGCCGCUAGUUCAAAUUGGUGGGGGGUAAUUUUGUAACACACCCUACAUUUUGGACAAGCGUGUCCCUAAGUCAUGGUUCACCCCCUCCCAUCGCCCCAUUUUCGCCAUUCAAAAUCCCAGGCCGCCAUAACCUCUCCGCUCCAGCCGCGAAACCGGACCCUCCUCCGUCCGCCACCUCACCGCUGCCCAGUCGGAGCCUCUUCCCCAACGACGUCAUCCACCGCAACAGCUCGACGUCCCUCGUCCACCUCCCCGGAUGAGGAUCCGUCAUCCAUCUCGUCGUCCCGCCGGUUCAGCCGCCCUGUCCUCCACCUCCAAGGAGUUGCUCCGACGAUCGCCUCGCCUAUCGCGGCUGCUCCAUCCCUACAGCACCGCCUUAACCUGCUCCACCAGAACUGCAGCAUCCUCACCGACUCCUCGGACGAAGUCGAGGCCUACUCGGCGCCACCAAAGAGGUUGUACACUCAUCGCAUCGCACCUUCUCCUUAACUCGACCUCCCGGCACCGACGGUGCUCCAUCUCGCACCCCCGUGGAGCGGCUACCUUGAAGCCGGCACCGCGGGCGACAUCUCCACGGCGGCUCUCCCCCAGUGCGAGGCCCCUUCGGCAGUGGCGUCCAUACCAACCGGAUCUGCUGCUGCUGCUCCGGCUCUCGCUCGAUCGCUCGCUCGCCCAGCUGCUGCUGCUUCUCUCCCCCUCGCUCAUGUUGCUACUCUACUCUGAUUUAGCCACACUUCAGCCGACUGAAUCAAAUUUUGGGUUAGUCGAUUUUCAGGGGUUGGGGGGCUCGCCGGAGUUAAGGAAGAACCACCCACAACGGGGACGGGGGCUCGUCGAAGAGGUACCUCACUAUCUAUCUUAGGGUUCCCGGUGGGGGCGGGGGCCUAGAGGGCUGGCCAGGGCGGCGGUGGGGAGUUGUUUCAGGGUGGCGAGGCGGCGCUGGGACCGGCGGCAAGGCCGGUGGUGGCUAGCGGCUCAGGGGGGUGCAGGUUGAAGAUGAACUGCAGGCCCUCCCUAAACUACAUGUCAAGUGCCUCUCUGCUACCAUUGCGUUCAGUUUUGAUAGUAGCAUUCAGAUUCCACAGUAAAUUUUAGUUUCGACAGUUAAGUUCAGAGUCAACAGUUUUUACCUCAUCUGUUGUAGUCAGGUGGUUUUUGGUGAUGUAAAUUUUACAUCUAUUUUACAUCAUCUAUUGGAGAUGCUAUUAGAAUUCCACUUGAGAUUGAUGAUGUCUGUCUUGUGCUGCUUCAGCCUUGACGCCUUACGGCUCACCGGAACUGCUCCAACGACAGAACGAUCCAUCAUAACAGAGCAGUGCCCUGAACGCCGUCUACAGAUUCCUCAGAUCUUCCUCCACACCUCCGAUAGCCACCUCUACCUCAACUGCUUCAGCGACCAACCAAUGAUGCUGAGGUCGACACGGCUACGACAAAGAGGUUGUACACUUGUUGCAUCACUUAUUACUAUACAUUCACGUCGAUCCAUUAGGGCUAUUUUGGUUCAACGGAAAAACAUAGCAAUAGGGAAUUUUCCAAUGGCACUCUACUAUUCAAUUAUCCAUGCAUUUCAUUGAAAGGAAUGAAGCAAAACAUCCACCUGGACCUACUUUUCAAAAUCUUAUGCAUGAAAACAAGACCAAGUGCAUUAGUGGCACAAUAACAUUCUAACUGUACACACUUUCAUAUGGUUUCACUUUAUCUUGGCCAUGUUUCUUUGCAUUCCUCUGCUCUUCCAAUUCCUGUAAACCAAACACCCAAGUUAACAGAAAUCAUGUGUUUACAAAUGCUAUGUUUACCAUGUGCAUUCCUAUCCUAUUCCGGUGUUUUUCCUAUCCCUGCGUUUUAAGAAUCAUGCAGGCCAAAUGAGCCCUUACAGAAUUACUUCAGUUAUAGGUACGUGUCGAAGGGAACUUUGUGUGGUUUGUCCUGCUCCUGCCGCCACGUCGUCCACCUCACCUGAGCUGCUCCAUCAAUAGAAGCAUCCACCAAACCAGACAUCACAACUCCUGACCGUCUUUCGCCGCCUCAGAUCUCCUUCCCUACCACCAGCACCCAUCGCAACAGCAUCACCAUCAUCGACUCAGCAGAUGAACCUGAGGAGUACACGGGUCCACAAGAGAGGUCGCACUCUUUUGUUUCUGCUUAUGUUAUGCAUUGCUUAAAAUUACCUGCUACUUUAUCGUCAUGUUCACCUCUUGGACUCCAAGCCAGGUCCAAAUUAAUGUUCAAACUUGAGUUAUAAAUUAUUUGUGAGGCACAUAUCGAGGCAGCAAUGAAUAGUAUGUCUGUCUAAUAUCUGGUUCACCUAGGGUAUGCCUAUGUUGUUCAUCUUGGGUGGGAAACAAAUAGUAAAGCAAUCAUCAUCUGUAUUUUUUAUUAAUUCAAAGCAAUCAUCAGCCUGCUAUCAUUAUUUUUGGAUCCAUCCACUGGUUGUUACCAUCACUCUAAAUUUCUGCAUGCUCUCCUUACAUAAUCUCACCAUAUUUUUUUCGUAUGCAUGUCAGAUAUUGUACACAGUCAUGCUGAACAUGUAGAGAAAAAGAUAAGAGUUUUGCGCGGCAAUACAAUGUCAUGCAGACAUCGCUCCAUGGUGGGUUCAAUGGCAAACCCUCCCCACCCCUCUCUAGAUUGUAAUCCAGAGGAAGAUAUCUGUUCUGAGGCAGAUUCAGACGCCGCUGACCACUCCUAUUUACCCCCCAAGGUGUUUGUUCUACCUUGGCAUGAUGAUGUUAGUCAUAUCAUGCAUAUGUUGCCUUGCAGUGCCUACUUUUGACAUCAUAUAUGUCAUCUGCUUAGUUUAGACAUGUUUUGUAAUGACACCUGUUUAGUUUCUAUAUCAUAUAUGGGAAUUAUGCAGUCUCAUGUCUUUUAGCCAGCCAUAAUAUAUGUGAAAUGUGCAAUGCCAUCCUGUUUAACCAGGCAUCAUAUAUUUGAAUGAUAUCUUGCCCAUCCUUUUCUUCAUUACAUUUCCAUUUGUCGACAAUAUUUGUACAUUAAACUACUCUUCCUGUGAAUCAGCCAUUUGGGUGGGAGAUGGAAAAAUCUGGAGUGAAAACAAGGCCUUCAGAGCAGACAGUGCUACAUGUCGAAGCAGAUCUCUUGUUGGGUCCCGAUAGCUCCUCAGUGAUGGAUUCAGAGACAGAUGACCAGUCCUAUUCCCCCACUGAGGUGUAUGCUCAAACUUGGCACGGUUAUACUGCUCAUAUCGUGCAUAUGGUGUCUUGCAUUGCAUAGUUUAGACAUCAUAUACACAAUAUUCAACACCAUGUUCUUAGUUCAGACAUCAUAUCGGAUGCCCUCUGUUUAGCAUAUAAAUCACAUAUGUGAAUUAAAUGAUGCGAUCCUGAUUACUUGGAUACCAUGUAGGUGAAUUAUGUCAUGCGAUCCUAUUUAGUUAUUCAUCAUAUCUUUGAAUUAUGUUAUGCUAUGCUAUCCAGUUUAGAUAGACAUCAUAUAUGUGAAAUUAUGUCAUGCUAUACGUUUUAGUUAAACAAUAUACAUGCCAACUAUUUCAUGCCUUUUUUCCACACUAUCUAUUGCAUUUGUCUCUCAUACAAUGUCUGUACAUUCAACUAUGUUUCCUGUUUAUCAGCCAUUUGAAUUGGAGUGGGUGAUGCCAGUAUCCAUCAGACUAAAAACACGGUCUUGAAAUAAAGCAGUGCUACCUCUUGGUGGAGAUAGCACCCCAGUUGUACAUGCACAAGAACCAGCCCUACCACACAUAACCCAAACUCUCGCAGAUUGUACCCCUACUGCAAUGGAUAGAGGACCAGCUUCACCCAAUCUAACCCCAACCCCAGCAGAUAGUAACCCAGUUCAUGUUGACACAGCACCAUCUCCACCACAGAGCUCCCAAACAAGAGCAGUUAGUAAGGCAGCUCCAGUGCCCAAAGGGCCAGUACUACCACGGUGAACCCCAACUCCACCAGUUAGUACGCCUAUUCCUGUGGAGGAAGCACAACCAGCUAGUCAUAGUUUAGCAGCUAUCGCAUUUGAUGUUGUUAACACGUAUGUGUGUAUCUUCCCAUCUUGGAAAUAUUAUACUGAAGAUGAAGGAAAAUGCCAGUUGCAGGUGUUUUUCUAGGAGUUAUGUGUAAGUAAUGUUAUUCAUGGCAAUUGCUUUGCUUUGUCCCAUACAUCCUACCUCCAUGAUGGUUAUAAACUUAUAAUACAGCAAAUUUUCCCAUUUUUCUCCAUAGAGAAGGACCAAUUUGGAAACUCAGGAUGAGGUAACCUGUGCUAAUACCUCUGCUAUCUUCAAGAAUGCUUGGUGGUAGUAUCGGAAUUACCUAAAGAAAACGUACUUUAUCGGCAAAGAAACUCAUCAAAUUCCCUUACGUUCUCUUGAGACACAUUUACUGGACGAUGACUGGGAACGCCUUGUUCUUUACUGGUCCCAAACCAAGAAUGUGGUAAGGUCUAUGAGCUCAUUUUCUAUUUUUAAGUACUAUAUUCUUGCGUCUUACUAUACUCUGUUCAUGUAGAACAAGUGCCUAAACAUGAAGAACAACUAUUCUAAUUUAAGACUCUAUUGCUAUCAUAGUUCAAAAAAGCGCUAGGCGUUAAUUGUGCGUUUUGCCACCGCCUUGCGCUUUACUGACCAAAACGCAUGCUUGUGCACAGUUAUGCACAGAUUAAGCGUAGUUAUGCGCAAUGCGUUUUGCCAACGCCUAGAGCCUAGGCACGCCUUUUUUAACUAUGAUUGCUAUCAUGCAUACUGCUUUGCUCUUGUAUCACUGUAUUUACUCAUACAAACUUAUUUUUAAAUUGAAGGAUCCAAUUGAAACUCCAAUGGCACAGCAGGUAUGUUCACGCAUGUUUCUUUAACAGGUUUGCUCUUAUCAAUAGCUCUGUUGAUUUCAAUUUCAAUUGUGUAUAAAGUUGACUUCUCAUAUCAUGCAUAUUACUAGCAUCACAACAGAUCCAAUAGUGUUGUUGUACAUGUAGACCCGUGGUACCCAUCUGAAAUCUUAUUGUGUCAUGUAGUUUCCCACGCUUUGUAUUCUUUCACUGCUGCUUUGUCUUGAACUAACAUGAUUUGAACCGUGUCUCUAUUUUGAUUUGGCAAGACAAUGCAGUGACCAUAGGACAUAGAUAUAUGUUUGUUUGAUGCUUUUAUUAUGUACUAGUACUUGGCAAUAGAAGAAUUGGUAGUUUAAUCCUGUCCACCUUACUAAUGAACUGGUUCACCAAAAUGAGUUUCAUAUACUAGUACAUGCUACACCUGUUAUGUGUCUGCUUGUUUCUUCUUUUAGAAUGCUGACAGAAUAUUGGGGAAGAGUGCUUUAUUAAGCAAUUGUAAAGGAAGUAAUGCAGAUAAGGUUCAGGAUAGUGACACAUCCUUGUUGGUCUCCAACAAAGCUGAUAAAACAGCUAAGGAAGACUAUCUUGAAGACGGUGAGACAACCCCAAAGUCCUAUCUUGGUUUAGUGUUCGAGUUACUGGCCACUAUCGCUUGCACAAGCUAUUCAAACUCACUGUCUGAAUCAAUUCGAUUUCUUGAGUCUCAACUACAAGCUGAAAGAGAUCGAUCAGCUGUGCUGCGACAAGAAGCGGAAGGACUGCGGAAGUCCCUGCAGCAUUCAGAUGCAUACUUUCUGGUGCAACAACAAGCGUUGGAGGAUUUUAGCGCCAAACAGGACAAAGCUAAUAAGCUUGCUAAGCUUAUUGCCAGCAUGGUGGAUACCCAGGAUAACGUUUCUUGAGCUCUUCUGAAGUUGUUUCAGUUAUGCUCUUGUUUUGCUGCCGCGUUUAUUUGCACUAGUGGCCAAUUUUGACGGCCAGUGUAUGUAAUAUGCUGCUUUGUUCCCUAUAUUUGCACUGGUGGCGAACUUUGAUGCCCAGUGGAUGUAAUAUGUGUAAUAGCGGUAAUAGGCUAGCGUUAAUUGCUUGCUUAUUUAUUUCCUCGUUGUCUUCUUUAGUUGUUUGCUUGUAGUCACUGCAGUUCUUUUUCUGUGUUUUUCUAGUGGCCACAAUAGCCUAUUUUUGGUAACUAGGCCAAAAUAAUCAUGGCAGCACACGGACUGUUGUAACCAUGGGCCUCCUGCCAGCCGUAUGAUCCAUGGGCCUUCUACGGGCGUAGGAUCCAUUGGCCUUCUGGAUGGGCCGUAGGAUCCAUGGGCCUUCUACAGGACGUAGGGUCCAUGGGCCUUCUACGGGCCGUAGGAUCCAUGGGCCUUCUACAGGGCGUAUCAUCGUUUCGCCAAUCAUGGGUCAUCCUAUUCGUGGACCAUAAUGGACCGUUAAUGGGUCGUAUUUGAUAACUGUAUGAAAACAGCCCAACGGGUUUUUUUGACAUGAAAACGGCCCAACGUAUUAAUGGUCCACAAACGGGCUGACUGUAACAACAGGCUGAAUUUGGCCCACAAGCAGAAAAUGACAGUAACGGGCAGUAAGUAACCGAAUGUUGCAAAUGAGCCCAAGAAUAAAUGGGCCCUGAGAAGGCCGAAAGAUAACUUGGCCUGGAAACGGCCUAAUGGAAUAAUGGACCGUUAAUGGGUAUAAAGUGAUACACUGUUCAUUACACGCCAGUUUCACCACGGGUCGUUAAUGGGCCAAGAGUUACAAAGGGCCUCAUAUGGGCCGAAGGAAUUCAUGGGCCACACAUGGGCCAGAAGUUAAAAUGGGCUGGAAUUAUAUUGGACGGCUCAGAUGAUGCUACUGGGCCUAAUUCGGAUAGGGCGUAACGGGCCAUGGGUUAGCGGGUUGUAAAUGGGCUAUAUGCGGACAGGCCGUUAACAAGCUUUCCGUGGGCCGGCCCGCCACCUUUUGACCAAGUCAAACGGGCCGGCCUUUUCACAGGAAUGGGCCUCUGUUGGGUCGUGUCACGUGUCGACGUAUCAUAGGCGCCUUGGGUCCAAUGAGUGGAUGACAUAUGUCCCAACGGUGAGCCGACACGUGUUUCCUCCAGCCAAUGAUGAUUUUACAUGUGGAAAAUCCCCAUUGGUCGGGGCUGUUAACAGGUUAUCGGAUCCAAAACCGGACCCGAUAGCUUAACGGUGUUCCAUUACGGUGGAUGCCACAUGUCGGCCACCCUUGACGAAAGCACUUCUGUGAUGCGCGAUUUAUUGUCAUGGAAGUGGACACUUCCGUGAUGAUAAUUUUGAUAAUGUAAUGGAACACUUCUAUGACAACACAGGUAUGACUAUCUUGAUUAUGUCAUAAAAUCAUCAUGGAUGUACAUGCAUGACAGAAAAUGCGACCUACUGUGACAAACAUGUAUCAUCACGGAAGUGUAUUUUUUUUGUAGUGCAAUGGAGUGGACCCCGGAGGCCGAGGCAGCGCUGCAGGAUUUGAAGAAAUACCUCUCCUCUACCCCAAUGCUGGUUGCGCCUAAACCACAAGAACCGUUGCUGUUGUACCUAGCGGCAACGAAUCAGGUAGUUAGCGUCGCACUGGUGGCGCAGAGAGAGGUCGACGAAGAGGCAGCAGCAACGGCAGAGUCAACGGAUGGCGAGCCGGAACCCUCCCCGGCAGGGCUCGGUCCCGGCAAGACUGAGUACCUGACAAGGGCUAACGCCAGUGCAACAGGGCCCAUGCGACUAGGUGAAGUUGUGCAGAAGAAGAAAAUGGUGCAGCACCAAUUUUACUUCGUCAGCUCUCUCUUGCAGGGGGCUAGGUCGAGGUACUCAGGUGUGCAAAAAUUGCUCUUCGGCCUCCUUAUGGCCUCGAGGAAGCUGCAUCAUUACUUCCAAGCGCACAAGAUCACCGUUGUCACCCGUCUCCCGUUGCAAUGCAUACUACAUAACCCAAAUGCAACGGGGAGGAUUGUGGAAUGGGCCCUGGAGCUGUCAAGUUUUGGCUUGAAGUUCGAAAGCACCUCGACGAUUCAGAGCACAGUAUUGGCGGAGUUCGUUGCUGAAUGGACCUCGACGCCCGACGAAGAGGUCCAGGAGACCACUCUCCCCGGCAAGGAAACAAGUCACAAUUGGAUCAUGUAUUUUGAUGGAGCCUUCUCGCUACAAGGCGCCAGCGCUGGUGUGCUGCUCGUCGCACCCACCGGAGAGCACCUCAAGUACGUGAUCCAAAUGCACUUUCCCAGGGAGAUGCCGACAAACAACACUGCCGAGUACAAGGGAUUGCUUGCCAGUCUCAGGAUCACGGCGGACCUCGGAGUCAAGAAGCUCAUCGUCAGGGGUGACUCGCAGCUUGUCGUCAGGCAGAUCAACAAAGAUUAUCAGAGCCUGUUGAUGGAAGCUUACGUAGAUGAAGUGAUGAGACUGGAGGAGCGCUUUGACGGUAUACAGGCAGAGCAUGUCCCCCGGAUGGAGAACGAUAUCGCCGACUACCUGUCAAAGCGUGCUGCCCUCAAGCUACCUGUGGAACCAGGUACUUUUGUGCUUCGGUUAACUCAACCAUCCGUCGAACCAUCAACAGAACAGAACAAGCGGAGGAAGCUAGGCCCCGGCAAGUACUUCCCCACCAAGCUCCCUGGAGCCGCCGGCAAAGGAGUUGCCAUGGACGCCGAGCCUGCCGUGAGACAACUGACUCCAGCGGGGCACCAGGCCCUUGCCGCGGAGGCAACCGUUCCCGCGGCAGAAGAAAUGCCUUUGGUACUUGCCGUCGAGCCACAGGCUCCAGCAUGUGCGCAGCACACUAUCCUAUUCCUCCAAAUAGGAGAGCUUCCUAAGGAGCAGGAAGAAGCGGAGAGAGUAGCCUGCCGGUCUGCUCUGUACCAAUUCGUUGACAAUGUCUUGUACAGAAAAAGACCAAAUGGGGUGAAAUUGAGGUGCAUCUCCCGGUAGGAAGGACUGGAUCUGUUGGCAGAGAUACAUGGAGGCAUAUGCAGCUCCCACAUAGGGUCAAGGGCCCUUGCUGGCAAGGCUUUCCGGCAAGGUUUCUUCUGGCCCACUGCCCUCCAGGAUGCGACGGCACUAGUAACCAAGUGUGAAGCGUGCUAGUUCCAUUCAAAGAAACUUCAUCAGCCAGCUCAAGCCUUGCAGACAAUCCCUCUCUCCUGGCCAUUCUCGGUUUGGGGGCUCGACAUAUUGGGCCCUUUUCCCCGCGCCGUCGGGGGCUUAGAGUACUUGUACGUUGCCAUCGACGAGUUCACAAAGUGGCCGGAGGUGGAAGCAGUGAGGAAGGUGACCGCACAGUCGGCCGUCAAAUUCUUCAAGGGACUAGUUUGCCGCUUUGGUGUGCCGGACAGAAUCAUCACCGACAAUGGCACGCAGUUCACAAGCCACACCUUCAUGCAGUAUAUCGAGGACCUCGGCAGCAAGGUCUGUUUUGCUUCCGUGGCACACCCACAAAGCAAUGGUCAAGCGGAGAGGGUGAAUGCAGAAGUGCUACGUGGCCUGAGGACGAAUACUUUUGACAGGCUACACAAAAGCGAGAGGCGCUGGAUUGAUGAGUUGCCGGCGGUUCUUUGGUCGAUCAGAAUGACGCCAAAUCGAGCCACCGGCCAGACACCCUUUGCCCUGGUUUACGGGGCAGAAGCAGUUCUCCCCACGGAACUCAUAUACGGGUCACCUUGAGUGCUCGCUUAUGAUGAGCUUGAGCAAGAGCGAUUGCGUCAAGACGACGCAACGUUCCUCGAGGAAGAUUGUCUUUGAGCGGCUGUGAGAGCAGCGCGCUACCAGCAAGCCUUGCGCCGCUACCAUAGCCGCAAGGUUCAUGCCCGGAGCUUUGAGGAAGGCGACCUUGUUCUUCGGCGCAUUCAGCGGCCAAGAAUUCCAACAAGUUGACACCGAAGUGGGAAGGCCCUUAUCGAGUAACACGAGUCACCAGGCCUGGCGCAGUCCACCUGGAGACCGAAGAUGCCAUUCCAGUGAGCAACUCCUGGAACAUCGAGCAUCUUCGCAAGUUUUACCCAUAAGGCGCGGCUGUCGGGCCCCCCGGCAAGCCACCUUUUUGUACAAGCCUUGCCGACAAGGCAUGUAACCCUCUGUACAAAGCCAGGCACAGACCCUGAGCAUAAAUAAAUGAAGCAUUGGCGCCCUAAGUUAUAGCAUGCAUGCUAGAUUGAGUCUCUCCCUCGGUUAGGGUUGAUAGUGCUUAGCAGCGACUAACCCCUAGCAUAGAGGUCGAGUUUGCAUCUCUUUGUUCCUAUCCAGCCUCUUUGGUUCAUAGGGUACAUAAAUGUUUCCGCCAAGCCGAGUGGAAGGAAGAGAACAAGUUGGCGCUCCGGACCGGGCAAGCCAAGCUUGCCGGGAGCUGAAGACAUGAAGGUCCACCCACGGCAAGCUAGGGUUGCCGAGGGCUGCAGAUUCAGAUAAGUUUUUCCAUCCCCUGUUAUGCAUUUCCGUAUGAUGCUUGGAACAUACGGAACCUCGUUUUGUUCCAAGGCUGCCGUGCUCCCCUCAUUCCUAUCACCCAAGAACUCCUUGGUUCGGAAUAUGGUUGUAGCUGCAGCGGCAAGGAAGCCAGCGUAGCGCCCACCCCCGCUUCGUCCCUGCCUCCACCAAAGGCGUGAGUAUGGACGAACGAAGUGGGGGAACGGCAAGGCCUGCUGCCGGGCAAUGGUGUUUAUAUUGAAAAAAUAAGGAUUUGUUCCUUGGUAUGGGCUUUGGUCACACACACACAAGACCCGGCAAGCACCCUUUUUCCAUUAAUACAUUCCAUAUAGGUACAGUUCGUACGGAAUGUAAACAUGAACAGGGAGGUUACAAGUUUUAAAUCUAACUAAGGCCCGUAGGCUUACAAACUGAAAACAGAUAAAGUGCCCGUAAUCCCUUUCUUGUCCCUCUCCUCAGGAAAUGAAACAAGAAGGCAAAACGGCAGAGGAAGCUCCUAGCUGAGGUACGAGCAGCAGAAGGCGCCAAGAGAACAUGUCGGUGGUUGCCUAGGAGAGGGUUGGCGGUGGUGGUGCUGGAGGAAAAGCUGGAAGAUGAGGCAGUGGUCCGUCAAUACGCUACGAAGGCGUCGGUGCCAUCAUACUCCGACUUGACGGCCCGCCACCCGCUUUCUUCGCCUUCACCGGCCUCCCCACGCCAGCCGUCCAAGGAGGCGACCCCGAGAAGUUCAAGGAGCCGGCGACACGGAUGAUGGGGUCGCCGGUGUCGCCCAGGAGCGGCGCGCCUGAUGUCUAGUCGGACCCAUCAUCCUGCCGCCUGCUACCCUCGUCGUCGUUGCCGUUGUCCUCCUCGCCACUCCUGCUCGAGGAAGAGUCUUCAUCGUCAGAGGAGCUCUCCACGCAGCACCUUACGUGAGUCCCAAAGUGUCCAAAGACCUUGACAGAGAGGAGGCCACUCUCCAUUAAUUUGAAAUGGAGAGUGAGCCCCUCCGUCAGGCUGUGGAUGUGAGUGAAGGUCUUCCACCCAUGGCGAAGGUACAUGACAUGAGGGUCUGGGAACUCGAUUCGGCCCAUGUGCUGCUAUUCCCACAACCCCUCAUGUGCAGCAACAGUGCCUGUGGCGGGUCCAGCUCCAUCUCCCAAGCAAAUGGGGUCGGGAGACGAAGACGAUGGCAUGCCGGCCGGCGCAGCCUGAUAAAGAACUCGUAGGGGCUGUCCCCGGCGUGGCCCUCCACCGGGGGAGAUGCUGUUGGCGGAGGUGAGGCCGACGCGCCGCCCCAUCCUCCUCUUCCCCGAGCACCGCGAUGGCCUAGACCUCGCCCCCUCCCCUUCCUCUAAUGGCUGGCUCCGCCUCCACGAGCUCUUGGGGAGGAGCGACACAUUGUCUGGCAGAGACCCUCGCCGCCACCGAUGAAGCAUCACCACGCCCUCUCGCCAUGACAGAAGGAAGGAGCAGGAAUGGGGAGAGGCGGAUGACGAAGGACUGAGAGGUGUCGUUCCUCCCGCUCCCCUCCUUAUAAAGGACGGGGUCGGGGCUCGGCCGCCCUUUUCAGCCAAUCCAGCUCAUUAAGGUGACAGCGGGCGAGGUUGUCGACCGCCCUCCCCGCCCAAUUGAAGGCGUGUGGGAAUCGACCCACGCGCGCACGACUUCCCGUAUCCCGCGUGCCUGUCAUUCGCUCUGCGUCGUGCAUGCGGCAUACAUGGCGCGAGAGACGGGCGUAAUGGGACGCGUGGAGCGACGGUUCCCAGGUAAAGACAGUAAAUGAGCGGCGGCCCUGCGGUCUCGAAGGGACACGUGAGCCGCCUCUUUACUAUUCACCGCAAGAUGACGCAAGCGUGCUUCGAUCACGCGUGCGCGUGACCCCCAUGUCAUGCAUUCAACGCGGGUCAUAGGGAAGUGCAACGCACGGAGAGCUAUCGCUGUAAAAACCGCCCUGCCUGCUCGCGCACUGUUCUAGGGUGGCCCAACAACGUGUCGCGCUUAUGUGUGGCCCAGGCCUGGGGGCUCCUGUUGGUGUACUAAAGUAGGGGCGCUCCUUUGUACCCCUUAUUUGUGCACGGGCAGUCAGAGCCACGCCCAUGACCAUGCUUAAGCAAGGCAGAGACAAGAAAUCAAAGCCGCGGGACGGCCAAAGCAACGCUAAGACAGAAGGCAUAAAGAGCAAUAAGGCGAAGUGGUUUCCCUUAGAAAGACCCUUGCUGGGGCGGCCUCCACGGCCCCGGCAAGGGCCUUGCCAGGGCAGCCAACCCGACGCCAGCAGGGCGCGCCACCCUUGGUGAUACGGGACGCCUCGGAAACGAUCUUUCACGAUGCCAAAGAAAUCACAAGGAGCAGCAAUAAACUCACUCGAUACUUGUUUCAACAAAUUUUGUUUCUCUCAAGUCGCAAGAACAAGAGGAAACACACUUAGAUAAAUUGCAGCGGAUAACUAGCUGGGUUUACAAGGAUGCAACCCAAACCAUGAAGCCUGUGAACCUAUGAAGAAUCACAAGAGGGAACCACAAGGAUCCUAUAUGAAUUGACGACAGGCACUCCAAUCCACACACACGAGCUAACACUCAAUGAUACUAGUGCUCACAGCACAACACAACCUCACCGGCUAUCUACAAACAUAAACUCAGAAAUCUCAUCCCCCCUCACGUGAAACAGUUGGGGAGUAUUUAUACUAGAAGCACCCACUAGUUAGGUGUGAAAACAACUCAAAAAAAGGGUAAAUUCGUGAGCCCCAAGCUGUAGCAGGAGCAAACUUGUUGAGCCUCGCGCUGUAAUAAAUUCCUGGACAGCUUGCAUGGAAACUUGCACAACUUUUGACUCAAGACCUCAAAUGAUGCACCAUUUUUUUUGAAUGAAAGCUGACUUCUAAGACCAUCUUUUCCAGCCUCUAUAAGGUGCUAGAGACUUCCAGAAUUAAUUAGGUUUAGGUGGGAAGUUGCUGCUAGAAAUCUGAUGUGUCAUUUCUCCCAAAAUAGGCACCGGAAGCUUCCCAACAAAGAUAAUGGUUUUGCCCUUGUCUUCCUUUGGAUGCUCUAAUGGUUCAGCAUCUGUGCUAGCAUUAACCUCACUCUUGGAUGCCUUGGUCAUGAUCUGGUCCACAUCAUCCUCCCUUCCUUCAAACAAAACUAUCCUCGGUUUUGAGGUAUUCUUUUUGGGCUUCUUCACUUAUGGGAAUUGCUCAACCUUGAGUACUUGAUCCACCAUAGGUCCCAAUACAUGGUUCACUCCUUGAUGCACGAAAGAAUACUUGUUAGACCUCCCAUGGUGAGUAGCAUCGUGAUCAAACUGCCAUGGUCUUCCCAAAAGAAGAUGACAAGCUUGCAUUGGCACCACAUCACAUACCACCUUGUCCACAUAACUUCCCACUGAAAAUUGCACCCUAGCACGAUGCAUAAUCUUCAGCUUACCAACACCAUUCAGCCACUUCACAUAAUAUGGCUGGGGCUGCCUCCAUGUUGAUAUCCCAAGAGCAUGCACAAGAUCACUACUAAUGAUGUUGUUGUAGCUGCCUCCAUCGAUGACCACCUUGCAGUUUUUGUCCUUGAUCUUGCAAAUGGAUUGGAACACAUUUUGUCGCUGGCCCUUCUCAACAAUAGGAGCAUCAUCAUGAGCCACUUUGCGAACCAUGAGAUUAACACCAUCUCCUCCAUCUGAACUCAGAGGUGCUCCGGUCUCAAAAGUACAAUAAUUUGCAUCUUUCUUCUCAGAUUCAGAUUUGUCACUUGAGUCAUCGGUGACAUAUCCAUCAUUUGUGAGUAAAACCUUCUUCAGAUUAGGACAAUCCUUCUUGAAGUGACCUCUACCCUUGCAUGUAUGGCACUGAAUAUUACUAAUGCGAGUGGCAGGAGUAUUGGAAGAUUCAACCUUUGAUGCAUUAGCUUCCUUUGUAGUCAUCUUGUUGUGUGAGCGAAAAUCUGCAGCGACACUUCCGUCUACUUCUCGCUGAGCUGAACUUCUCCAAGUGCUUGAUGUAUAGGUUUGGCUGCGAUUUUGGCGACGCUUCAGCUGCUGCUCUACACGAAUAGCUUGAUGCACAAGUUCUUGCAAAUCUUGAUAUGUAGCCAUCUUUAUCCUUUCUUGCACAUCUUCAUUCAAUCCAUGAAAGAAUCUUGACAUUGUGGCCUCCUCUGGCUCAUUCACUGCUGUCCUAAUCAUCAAAAUCUCCAUCUCUUUAUAGUACUCAUCAACACUAGAAUUACCUUGGCACAACCGUUGGAGUCGAUUGUACAAGGUUCUUGUGAAAUGUUUAGGAACAAACCGUCUCCGCAACAGAUUUUUCAUUUGCACCCAUGUCUCCGGACGACCUCCAGCAUGACACAAUUGGUUCCACCAAAUCAAAGCAUAUCCAGUAAACUCAAUGGAUGCAUACCGUACCUUCUUAUCCUCCGUAUAGCGGUGGCUGUCAAAAAUCUGAUCCACACGCAUCUCCCACUCCAAAUAAUCAUCGGGCUCGGUUUUCCCAUUGAACGAUGGUAUGGUAAGUUUGAAUUUACCAAUCCCAUCAUCUUCGUGGUCAUGAUGGGCACGCCCAUGACCUCUUCCUCCCAUGGCAAAGCCUUCUUGGCCUUCUCCGCGAUGAUCAUGAUGAACACGUCGUGGUCGAGGCUCGUAGUAGUUUCGAGCAUCAUCGGAGUGGUCGCUCCAAUGCUCACGAUGGUGGUCCUGCUGUAUGGGGAGUUGUUGAUGUCGACCCCGUGCCGCAAGCCCAUCUCGUGGUGGUGACGGUGGCGCCCAAGUAGCACCUCGCUGGUCGUAGCGAGCACGCCGAGGUGGUGCAGCGUAGUAGCUAUGAGCAUCACCCGAGUAGACGUGGUUGUGCUCUCCAUGCUUCUCCUCAAGGUGGCGUUGGCCCUGCUGUUCGGGGAUUUGUCGAUGUCGACCCCGUGCAGCAAGCCUAUCUCGACGGAGUUCCUCGGUGAGGGAGUCGAUUCUCCGGCCAAGGUUGGUCUCCACGGCCGAUAUGCGCCUCUCCACCUUGUUCAACACAUACUCUCGUGUAUCCUCCAAUGCCAGCACAUAGGCGGGCUGCAAGCUUGGAUCGUACAUGGGAAGUGGCAGCUUCUCCUCCAUGAGGUGCCUACCUCCAUGCACACCAUCAACACUGCUGGAUCUCCUCGAAUCCAUGGAAGCUUCUCAAGAACAAAAUCAGCAAGAGAGAAAAUAGCACCGCGAACAACCUAAAGCUCUGAUACCAAGAUGAUACGGGACGCCUCGGAAACGAUCUUUCACGGUGCCAAAGAAAUCACAAGGAGCAGCAACAAACUCACUCGAUACUUGUUUCAACAAAUUUUGUUUCUCUCAAGUGGCAUGAACAAGAGGAAACACACUCAGAUAAAUUGCAGCGGAUAACUAACUGGGUUUACAAUGAUGCAACCCAAACCAUGAAGCUUGUGAACCUAUGAAGAAUCACAAGAGGGAACCACAAGGAUCCUAUAUGAAUUGAGGACAGGCCCUCCAAUCUACACACAUGAGCUAACACUCAACGAUACUAGUGCUCACAGCACAACACAACCUCACCGGCUGUCUACAAACAUAAACUCAGAAAUCUCAUCCCCCCUCACAUGGAACAACUGGGGAGUAUUUAUACUAGAAGUACCCACUAGUUAGGUGUGAAAACAACUCAAAAAGAAGGGUAAAUUCAUGAGCCCCAAGCUGUAGCAGGAGCAAACUUGUUGAGCCUCGCGCUGUAAUAAAUUCCUGGACAGCUUGCAUGGAAACUUGCACAACUUUUGACUCAAGACGUCACAUGAUGCACUGUUUUUUUUGAAUGAAAGCUGACUUCUAAGACCAUCUUUUCCAGCCUCUAUAAGGUGCUAGAGACUUCCAGAAUUAAUUAGGUUUAGGUGGGAAGUUGCUGCUGGAAAUCUGAUGUGUCAUUUCUCCCAAAAUAGGCACCGGAAGCUUCCCAACAAAGAUAAUGGUUUUUCCCUUGUCUUCCUUUGGAUGCUCUAAUGGUUCUUGGAUGCCUUGGUCAUGAUCUGGUCCACAUCACUUGGGCCCCAGUCUCUCCAGCGUCGCCAACCACGUUGGGACAUAGGCUCGGGAGGCGCCUCCAUGGUGGCAUGCAGAUCUUUAUGAAGACAAGGAACACUUCAAAUCAGAAGAGAAUUAGAAGAUGACGAACCUUGGCGAGACCCUUUCCAAGGAACCCCACAAGACCCUCGGCAAGAUCCUUGCCGGGGACAACCGCAACGCCACGUCAAGACCCUUGCCAGGGCCCCGGCAAGGCCCUUGCUGAGGACGUCCGCGAGGCCACAGCCAGGCCCACACCCGCCAAGCUUCUGCCACCGCUCCCAUGCAGCUGCCAGCCCACCAGCUGGGCAGGCACCUGCGUGUUGACACGAGGCUUCUCGGCCAACUCAGCGCAUGCCUACGUGGUGGCAUGCAAAUCGUCAUGAAGGCCCUACCACUACGCCACCUCCGCAGCCUGCCAGCCUACAUGGCAUAGACCGCCUCGCUGGCCCAGGCGCGUGUCAAGGCAGGGCGAGGUGGCGGUAAAGUGAAGGGACACGUCAGAGGCGCAUUAAAUGUGUCUUGUCCCGUAAUAGCUAGCAAUAGGCUUAACCAUAGUACCCUGAUGCCACCUCCUGUGUGCCACUGUGGCGAUCCCCUUGCCUAUAAAAAGGAGGCCCGAGGCAUCCAGGAGAAGGAUUUGGACUUUUGGACAAGUUACGCUCAUUGUAGCUAGUUCAAGAACCUCAAGAACACAAAUAUACACAUCAAAGCAGGACUAGGAUAUUACGCAUCCCUGCGGCCCGAACCUGGGUAAACGACCCGCGUGCUCGUACUAACUGCUGAUCCUGCUCUCCUCACAACCCAGCGCCCCACAACCGUAGUAGGGAUUCUUGUGAUCCCAUAGGUGUCAUUUCCCACCGACGGUAUUGAGUAGCAUAAUGGAUCUGAACAUUUAAUCUUCCACCAAAUAAACCAAUAACAUCAACUACAAGAUGUAAUCAACACUACUAGCAACCCACAAGUACCAAUCUGAGGUUCUGAUACAAAGAUUGAAUACAAGAGACGAACUAGGGUUUGAGAUGAGAUGGUGCUGGUGAAGAUGUUGACGAAAAUUGGUCCUCCCAUGAUGAGAGGGUUGUUGGUGAUGACGAUGGUUUUGAUUUCCCCCUCCCGGAGGGAAGUUUCCCCGGCAAAAUUGCUCUGCCGGAGAGCAAGAGUGCUCCUGCCCAAGUUCUGCCUCGAGACGGCGGUGCUCCAUCCUGAAUGUCCUUUCUUUAUUUUCUCUAGGGAAAAUGGGCUUAUAUACCAGAAGAUGGGCACUGGAGGCGAGCCAGGGGCCCCACGAGCCACCAGGGCGCGCCCUGGUGCCUCGUGGGUACGUGGGUGGCCCCCUCUGGUAUUUUUAUUCUAGUUUUUUAUUUAUUCCAAAAUAAUUCUCCGUGAAAUUUCAGCUCAUUUGGAGAUGUGCAGAAUAGGUAUCUCUGACAUAGCUUUUCAGGUCCAGAAUUCUAGCUGCCGGCAAUCUCCCUCUUCAUGUAGAGCUCGCAAAUUAAGAGAGAAAGGGCAUUCGAAUUGAUCCGCAAAGUGUUAUAUUGAUUAAAAAACAUUAUAAACAAUAGUAGGAAAACAUGAUGCAAAAUGGACAUAUCAAUGAGCCACCGCCGAAAUCUUUCCUGCUCGUAUGGAUCCUUAGGGACAAUGGAAUCCUCGGGUACAAAGCUAACAUCUUCCUUGGAUUUGGGGAAGUAGUUACUAUCCACCCUGUCCUUGGGAUCUUCAGGGUCCUCAUUAUUGGACCUCCUUGUAGGGUCGUUAACCUGGCCAGGUGUGGCAUUAUUGCCGUUGCCUUGGUGCUCGGCAUUAUCUCGAGUGUUGCCAUCAUUGGUAGCAUCAGUGUUAUUGGACUCGCUCUCCUUGCCUCUACUAGUGCCCUUUCGCUGCCUCCAAGGACGUCGACAUUUGGGAGGAUCUUUCUUCCUUGUCUUCUUUGGGGGGUGUCGACCAUGUACACAUCGUAUGUAGAGGUUGUGGCCCAGUUGCCGGUAUGGGAUAUGGCCAUGGGUGAGGCUGCCCCUAAUAUGUCAUCGACAUCUUGAUCCACAUCGAUCGCCUCGUCAAAGGCAUAGUUCAGUACUUCUAUUAAAUCCUCGACUGUAGUGACUAGGUGGGUGGGGAGAGGGACAUAAAUUCCCUAUUGUCGGCUUCACAUCUGAUUUGAUCAUAGACCGAGGAUGAGAUUGUAAGCUUCUGGAUCCGAUCUAGCAUCUCAUUCAAGUGCGAGAGAUCCUCCGCGUCCAUAGCCUAACUGUAAGCCAGACUAAUUUGAAGUAUGCUUCAUGGGUUGCUUAACGCAACUUCAAAGCUUUGAUAUACUAGGGUUAGCUCUUGAUCGGCGGGAGAAGUGAUCAGAUCCGAGCUCAAAGCCGGUUCCGAAGUGAGGUCUGGCUCAAGGUCAAGAUCUGAUGCGAUAGUGGUCGGAUCCUUACUCAAAGUAGGGUCCAACUCAAGAUCCGCCCCAUAUUCCAGAUCGGAGGUGAGUUCUGGGAUUGAAGCCACGGAGGCCAAGGAGAUCUCAAGCCGAUCUGGACUUCAGCCGGAGAGAGCAAGAUCACGGCGGGAAUUCACAGUGUAUUCCAAGCUACCAAACAUGAUAACUUGAUCCGAGACGAAGCUUUCGACGCGGUCGAGACGACCGGCAGGUGAAAUGAUCUAGAUGAAGACUAGAGGAGGGGUGAAUAUGAGUUUUAAAACAUUUACGGAUUUGGCUUUAUCCUAAUGCGGAAUUAAACUAACGGAUACUUUUCAAGCACAAAUCCCAAAAAUGCUAGGCUCAACUAAGUGCACCAACAACCUAUGCUAAACAAGAUAGGCAAUUAAGCAAACUAGCAAGCACAAACUAUAUCACAAGAUAUGGAAAUGAAGGAACAACUAAGCAAUUCAACUAUCACAAGAUAUAUCAAUAUGGGCAAGUAUGAAUUGCGGAAACUAAAGGGUGUGGGUAUGAGAUAACCACAAGUGAGUCGGGGACGCGGAUUUAUCCCGAAGUUCACACUCGCGAGAGUGCUAAUCUCCAUUAGAGCGGUGCCGUAGCCAAAGCUCCGGGGCGUCACCAAGUGACUCACCGUAUUCUCCCUUUCGAGUCACCCCCAACGGAUGAGCCUCGAUUCACUCGGGGUUGGUCUUCAAGGCGGCCACCACACCUUUACAAACCUCUCCGGAGCACACCACAACCACGGAAGCUUCCGGAGGAACUUGACCACCUAGGCCACUUGAACACCCUUCCUCGGAGCACACCACAAAAGGAAGCUUCCGGGAGAACCUUGGCCACAUAGGCCUCUUCACAAUCUUCUCAAUAUAUCACCAAACCGUCUAGGAGGCGAAGCCUCCAAGAGUAAUAAACUCACGGGCUCUCACACGAACAAAUCGAUGCGGGGAGCUCAAACCAAUACAACAAAUGCAAUGCAAGGUCAAGCAACAAAUUCUCAACUCACUCUCUCAAUCUCACAAGAUGCAACUCAAGAAAGUGGGAGAUUGAAGAGAGGGGAUGCAAUGGAGGAAAUCAACAAAUAACUCCAAGAUCCAUCCACAAAUCACCCUUCACUUAGAAGGGAGAUAGGGGUUUGGGAGAGGUGGUAAGAGGCUCAAAAUGAUGUUUAGAAUGUGAAUGAACAACCCCCAAACCGGUGGGAGGAAGGGCUCUUUUAUAGCCAACUUCCAAAACUAGUCGUUGGGGCUCCAACGGGCACUUCCUGGACACCCCGUGCCCAUGGGGGUUUAGACCCCGUGCCCACGGGGUCCCGUGCACACGGAACAGGCCCGUGUGCACGGGGCCCCGUGCCCAUGGGGGUCAAAAACCCCGUGUCCACGGGGUACCCAGAACAACCUCUAGCAGCCCACUAAAACAGUGAUAACUUUGGCAUACGGACUCCGAAUUCGAUGAUCUUGGGCUUGUUUUGAAGCUAUGGAAAAGCCCAAGGUCCUCACAUAGAGAACCACCCAAGAUCAACAAUAAAUAAUGAUGCAAGUAAUGCAAAGGUUUGAGCUCUCUACAUGCGACAUGAUCAAGCUACUUGCCCGAGAGUCCCUCUUGAUAGUACGGCUAUCAAACCUAUAAUCCAGUCUCCCUCCAAGCACCAUGAGACUGGCAAAACUGGGAAAACCUAGCUAAGGUAUACCUUUGCCUUGCAUAUUCAACUUGAGCUUGGUGAUGACUCCAAUGCUUGUCUCAAGUUGGAAUCCCUUUCUUGUCCACAACCACUUGGUGAAGAUGCUUGAAUUGAUUCCUCAUAUUGCAAUGAGGGAAGCCUUAACUUAAGCCCAUCUCCACAUGAGCAUUAUCAUGAUGUGGACCGCAAGCUUCAAAGCAUAUAACCUCCGGCUUCUCAUCUUGCACUUGGAAUCCUCGAACCCGAUGACCAUCACCACUUGAUGUCAUCCACACAUAGGCUACUUGAGAUCUUUCCUUUUGAUGCAAGCCCAUGAGAAACACCUAACCCACAUAGACAUACCAAACACAUAGCAUGGGUUAGGUAAAAAAGCACAAUUCACAAUUACUUACCAUACCACUAGAUCACUUGAUCUCACGUGGUACAAUGUUUGUGCUUUGAGAGUUGACCACUUAGAUAUAAUCUUUGAGCUUCAUCUUGGUCAACCAACAUCUUUACUCGAAGCUCCAUCUUGGUUUCUUGAAAGCCACAAUGAACUCUUCAUUUCCCUUCAUUGCUUCAAGACUAUAUCACCAAAGACUCUUCCAUGACCAUAUCAAGUUCCACUAUGAAUAUCAUCUUGGUCACCACUUGCCCCUCUAAAAACUCCAUCACAAUCUCUUGAGAGGCAUAAUGAAUUCGUCACUCUAGUUGCUUGCUUCAAGACUUGAUCAACCGAAACCCAACACAUGAUCUCACCAUGAUCUUGUCUUGAGACCAUAACUUGAAUUCUUCUCUUUGAUUACUCUCUCUCAAGCCUUGAUCCUUAGAAGCCCAAAUAUAUCAAUCUUUGAGAUCCUCCAAUGCACUCCAUCAUGAACAUAAUUAGAUUAGGCAUUGAAACCAAUCUUGAUGGCUUCAAUAGAAGUACCCGAAGACCAACUUGAAACCUCACUGGAUAUGGGAUCUCGAGAGCCAACACCUAGGCCAAGUAAGCAUGGGGUAUCCAGAGAGUUGACACUCGACCCCGUGCGCACGGUACAAGCCCGUGUGCACGGGGUAUCCAGAGAAGGAUACCAUGAGGACUUCUUCGGAUGCUUUGAUGGCAGACUUCACAAAACAGCCCAAUGCACUUCAAGCAUCACUAUGGAACAUAUCUUCAUAUAAGAUUCAAUGCACUUGAUGCUCCAUAGGAAUUGUCAUUUAGUACCAAAGCAUAGGGCAAAUAUAUCUUCAUAUAUAUGGACUUCAUCCUUGAUUCUGUCCAAUAUCCUUGAGGCACUAUCUUCAUAUAUAUAUAUAUAUAUAUAUAUAUAUAUAUAUAUGGACUUCAUCCUUGAUUCCGUACAAUAUCCUUGAGGCACUAUCUUCAUAUAUAUGGACUUCAUCCUUGAUUUCGUCCAAUAUCCUUGAGGCACUAUCUAUGGACAAAACCUUCAAAUAUAUCUCACUGAAAACAUUAGUCCAUAGAGAUUGUCAUUUAAUUACCAAAACCACACUUAGGGGCUACAUGCCCUUUCAAUCUCCCCCAUUUUGGUAAUUGAUGACAAUCUCAACAAGAGGGUUUAUAUAAUGAAUUUAAAACAAGUAUGCAAUCUAUCCGAGAAUAAAUUGUAUACUUGAGGUGGUUUUGAUAGCUUCAAACAUCACAAAGAUAGUUGAUGUUAUCAAAACCAGUUGUACUAGCAUCGAAAUACUACACAAGAAUUUGAUGCUAGUAGAACCACAAUAUAUAGAGCAAACUCCCCCACAAUAUAUGCACAGGAAAUAACUUGGUAGAGUUUCCUCUAUAUACACAUCCAUGCAAUGAGCAAGCACAACAAAAGUAGAUAAGCAUGAAUGACAGGAACCAACCCACUUCAUCAAAACCAGUUGUACUAGCGUCAAAAUACUACACAAGAAUUUGAUGCUAGUAGAACCACAAUAUAUAGAGAAAACUCCCCCAGAAUAUAUGCACAGGAAAUAACUUGGUGGAGUUUCCUCUAUAUACACAUCCAUGCAAUGAGCAAGCACAACAAAAGUAGAUAAGCAUGAAUGACAGGAACCAACCCACUUCACCUAAACCCUCUAAACUUCUCCCCCAUUGGCAACAAGUGCCAAAAUGGAAGAAAAAUCUAGACGGCCAAUAUAGUAUGAGUUCCUCCUUAAUUUGUGCAUUUCUCAUAUUAUGAGUGGAAUCAAAUGCACAUAUCCAGUUAUGAACAAACGAAGAAAUUCACACUAUAUUAAGCAUCCAUAGAAUGCACCAAAAUGAUAUGACAAAAGAAUCAAACAUUCAAAGGAUCCAAAGAACAUAUUUUGGACAAGGGAUAAUGGACAUAUCCAAUAUGAUAAUCAUGCUAAGCAUGGGUCCAAAAUAUAUCCACCAACUCAUGAGUGCAAACAUAUGUGCAAAAAAUACAAGCACUCACUCAACAAAUACUAAUCAUGCCAUGAUGCAACACACACAAUGUUGACUCUAACUUGAAUAAAUGCAUGAAGUAAGUACUUGUUACCAAGAGAGAAAGCAUUGGUUCAAGAGGCCCUUGAUCUAGUACGCGAACAUGAGGGACUUGAUCUUGUUCUUGGAUAGGUAUAUGAUCUCCCAUAACAUCUUGCUCUUGUGUUGGGGGUGAUGACUUCCCUUAUGGUCGAUCCACAAGAGGGGCUCUUACUCCUUCUUCUUCUACAUGGACAAGGGGUGUUUCUUGUGGAAGAAUAUGACCAAUCCCCAUUGUACUUGUAGCUUGGGAAGGAGCCUCAUCACCUACAACACUUGAAACAAAUUGCUCCGCAUGGAAGGACUGAACCGGGUUUUCAUUUAUCUUCUCCCCCAAAUCAAAGAAUCAAUCAAGCUUGGCCCUAAUAAUUUCCCACGGUGUCUCCACCUCCUCGUGAAUAAGCCAAGCAUCCAAUGCUUCUCCAAGGUACCUAAAACACAUUAGGGUACAAAAUGGUCCCCAAUGUGACGCCCCCAAUUCAAUCGUACACUAAUCAUGCACGCAAACGUGUACGAUCAAGAUCAGGGACUCACAGGAAGAUAUCACAACACAACUCUAAAACAUAAAUAAGUCAUACAAGCAUCAUAAUACAAGCCAGGGGCCUCGAGGGCUCAAAUACAAAUGCUCGAUCAUAGACGAGUCAGCGGAAGCAACAAUAUCUGAGUACAGACAUAAGUUAAACAAGUUUGCCUUAAGAAGGCUAGCACAAACUGGGAUACAAAUCGAAAGAGGCGCAGGCCUCCUGCCUGGGAUCCUCCUAAACUACUCCUGGUCAUCGUCAGCAGGCUGCAUGUAGUAGUAGGCACCUCCAGCAUAGUAGGAGUCGUCGUCGAAGGUGGGGUCUGGCUCCUGGACUCCAGCAUCUAGUUGCGACAACCAGAAAGAAAGGAAAGGGGGAAAGGGGGGAAGAAAGCAACCAUGAGUACUCAUCCAAAGUACUCGCAAGCAAGGAACUACACUACAUAUGCAUGGGUAUAUGUGUAAGGAGGCCAUAUCAGUGGACUGAACUGCAGAAUGCCAGAAUAAGAGGGGGAUAGCUAGUCCUAUCGAAGACUACGCUUCUGGCAGCCUCCGUCUCGCGGCAUGUAGAAGAGAGUAGAUUGAAGUCCUCCAAGUAGCAUCUCCAAGUAGCAUCUCCAAGUAGCAUCGCAUAGCAUAAUCCUACCCGGCGAUCCUCCCCUCGUCGCCCUGUGGAAAAGCGAUCACCGGGUUGUCUGUGGAACUUGGAAAGGUGUGUUUUAUUAAGUAUCCGGUUCUAGUUGUCAUAAGGUCAAGGUACAACUCCAAGUCAUCCUGUUACCGAAGAUCAUGGCUAUUCGAAUAGAUUAACUUCCCUGCAGGGGUGCACCACAUAACCCAACACGCUCGAUCCCAUUUGGCCGGACACACUUUCCUGGGUCAUGCCCGGCCUCGGAAGAUCAACACGUCGCAGCCCCACCUAGGCACAACAGAGAGGUCAGCACGCCGGUCUAAACCUAAGCGCACAGGGGUCUGGGCCCAUCGCCCUUAGCACACCUGCACGUUGCAUACGCGGCCGGUGAGCAGACCUAGCAACCUCCAUUACAAAGGAAGUUGCGUUAACGCAGUCCAACCCGGCGCGCGCUGCUCAGUCGCUGACGUCAAGAAGGCUUCGGCUGAUACCACGACGCCGGGAUACCCAUAACUACUCCCACGUAGAUGGUUAGUGCGUAUAGACCAAAUGGCCAGACUCAGAUCAAAUACCAAGAUCUCGUUAAGCGUGUUAAGUAUCCGCGAACGCCGAACAGGGCCAGGCCCACCUGUCUCCUAGGUGGUCUCAACCUGCCCUGUCGCUCCGCCACAAAGUAACAGUCGGGGGCCGUCGGGAACCCAGGCCCACCUCUACCGGGAUGGAGCCACCUGUCCUUUCAGCCCCCUCAUCAGAAUCACUUGCGGGUACUCAUCGAGCUGACCCGACUUUAGUCACCAUCUGUAUAGUAUGUAUGUAUGUAUAGUAUAUACCCGUGAUCACCUCCCGAGUGAUCACGGCCCAAUAGUAUAGCAAGGCAGACUGACAAGAAUGUAGGACCAAUGAUGAUAAACUAGCAUCCUAUACUAAGUAUUUAGGAUUGCAGGUAAGGUAUCAACAGAUGUAGCAACAAUGUCAGGCUAUGCAUCAGAAUAGGAUUAACGGAAAGCAGUAACAUGCUACACUACUCUAAUGCAAGCAGUAUAGAGGAGAAUAGGCGAUAUCUGGUGAUCAAGGGGGGGCUUGCCUGGGUGCUCAGACAAGGAGGGGUCGUCGUGACGUAGUCGACCAUAGGGGCAUCAGCAUCGUCACGGGGUCUACCGGAGAGAAGAGGGGGAGAAACAGUAAAUACAUAGCAAGCAAGUGCAUAACAGUACAACAAGCAGAGCUAGACGUGUUCUAACGCGGUAUGAGGUGAUACCGGUGAAGGGGGGAAACAUCCGGGAAAGUAUCCCCGGUGUUCCGUGUUUCCGGACAGAUGAACCAGUGGUGAAAUGUUGCAGGUUCACUAUGCUAGGGACGCGUGGCGGACGAACGGGCUGCGUUUCCGGGUUCGUCUCGUCGUUCUGAGCAACUUUCAUGUACAACGUAUUUUCAUCCGAGCUACGGUUUAUUUUAUAUUAAUUUUAAAAGGAUUUUAUCAUUUUCUAGAAUUAACAGAAUUAAUUUAAUCCUCUAAUGCAUUUAUGACGUCAUCAUGACGUCAGCGGUCAACUCUGGCUGUUGACCUGGUCAACCUGACAUGUGGGUCCCGCAUGUCAUACUUUGUUUAUUCUAAUUAGGAUUUAACUAAUCUAAUUACUUUUUAAUUAAUUAACAAUAGUUAAUUAGGUGAACUAAACAUGAUUAGUUAAGUUAAUUAAUUUAUUUAAUUUAUUUAUUUAUUUAUUUUUAUUAUUAUUUUCAUUCUAAUCUGGGGCUGGCCCCACUGGUCAGGGACCCAGCCCAACCGGGGCGGGCGAACGGGAAACGGGCGCAGUUGAGCGCCCGAUUGGGCGCAGCGAGGCGAGGCCGUGGCCACGGCGGGGCGACGGGCGAGUAGUGGGGCGGCGGACGAGCAGCGGGGGGAGGCAACGGCGACCGCGUGCAGCGGUGGUCGGGGCUGACGGGCACGGCGGGACGUGCGUGUGAAAGCCACAGCCAAGGGCGCGCCCUGGCGCGAGCGUGUGUGUGCGCGACCGGUGGUGGUGAGCACGAGCGCCUAGCGAGCUCUCGUUGCGGCUGUCCGGCGAACUCCAACGACGAAGAAACGGAAAAGGGGGAAACAAGGAGAUCGAGGGGGAGGCUCACAUCGAGCGGCAGGGAACGAGGCAGCGGGGCGCGAGGAGGGCGACGGGGACGACGGUGUCGGAGUGGAGGCAGGCCGUCGAGGAAGACGGGGCCGCUCCAGCAACAGGGUCGGGGAGGCGACGGGAGGCGUGGGGCAUCGACUGCCCAGACCGGAUCCACGCGCGGCAGAAGCUUUGAGGAGGAGGGCGCCAGCGACGAAGGGGUCAGCGCGGCGGUGGCGACGCGAUCGUCGGAGGCAAGCGCGGUCGUGCCCUGAUCCAGAUUGGAUCGGGGGGAGGAGACGAGGGAGCGAGGGGGAGAGAUCGGGGGGGUGGUGAACGUGGGGAGUGGACCGGUUAGGGUUCCGGUCGGGGUGGGGGUUAAGGGGCCAUGGAGGUGGGCCGGCCUGGCAGGGACUUGGCCCAGUUGGGCCGGGGGCUGCUGGGCCGGAGCCCCGGGGGGGUUCUUUCCUUUUGUGUGUGUGUGUGUUAGUUCUGUUUCUGUUUUGAUUCAUUUUCUUAUUUUCUUUUGUGUUUCAUUUCUAGCUUCUUUUAAUUUUUAGUUUUUACAAAAUCACCACUAGUACCUAAAGUAGUAUUUAUAAACAAACUGCUGUCACAUCAAUUCUUAACCCAUAAUAAAAUAUUUUUAAUAUUUUAUAAAAUCCAAUAUGUAUUUGUUUAAUUGUUUUCACUACUGUUUUAAUUAGUUUAGAGCCCUUAAACAUUUUAUCAAGGUUUGGUUUCUCCAUCGUAUUUACACAUGAUUUAUCUGACCCACCUUGAACAUUUUGGUUUCAUUGUUUGAAAACUUUUAUUAUUUGCCUUUAAUUGAAUUUGAAUUUGAAUCGGUUUCGAACUAACACGAGAUUAGCGAUAGUAAUCAAAGUGACGUGGCAUCAUUAGCAGAGAAUUAUUGUAGCUUAAUUAUCCGGGCGUCACAAUUCUCCUCCACUACAAGAAAUCUCGUCCCGAGAUUUAAGAGGGGAGCAAGGGGGAAAGUUCUGGUUACGAUAUUCUAACGGAUCUUCACGAAGAAGUUAAUCCCUUUCGUUGAUGUCUUCUAUUCUUUAUUCCAAUGCAUCAUGAUAAACUUGUCAUCAUUUCUUCGGGAACUCCAUCGUACUUACGAAAGGAUAAGGGGUAGCUCACUACGACAUAAUGCUUUUGAGGGAAACAAUCUGGGGUUAACCCAUGAAUGAGUAUAAGAUUAUCUCUCGAGUUGAACAUAUGAAAUACAUCGAGAGUAAGGUACGAAGGUACAAUAAGAGGUUCCAAGCGGAUAGAUAGUUGCUCGAAGUCUGAACCAAAGUGAGAAAGGGUUCAGAGUAGCGAGAGUAAGUAUUGCGUUUGAUACCAGAAUAGAUCACUAGGACGAUGGCCCGUGAAUUACAUACGAGGCCACGCGCGAGGAAUAACUUUGGGAAUAGGGGGUGUACAGGACAGUCAAGUUUCGAUCCUGUGGAACUGUGGGUUAUGGGCCCACCAUGUGGUUUUUUUUAAUAGGAGCAGUGACAUCUUGCACGGUCAUGAUAACAAGGCAUGUCAGAGAGUACCAUGUCAGUUAUGUCGGCAACAACGUUGGUACCAAGGGCGAGGGACGAAGAGAACCAUUUUCCUGCUCGUUGCAACGAGGCAGACCAAUAGGCAAAGUUCUCGUCCAUCGGUGGCUACCGGAAUGUCAUCAACAAUAGUAACAUGGUCUUGCUGACAGAAUCGUACACUGAGGUGUUUACAUAAACAGGAGAAUAUCACUACUUAGAUCAUAUAGAUCACAAGAAAGGUUAAACCAACCAAUGGAAAGGAAAAUAUGAUUAUCAGAUUAAACAGAAAAAUGGAAAGGAAGAUGUGGUUAAACACAUGUUUUAGGGGUAUAUCCUUCCCAAGGACAAGCAUAGCAUGAUAUCCAUGACAGGAUAUAACGUAGAAAACCAUUUUUAUAAUGGGGAGAGGAAUUUUCAUGACAUUACCCAUACAACGGUGUUUUGGAUAAUUGAUGAAGAAAACAUAACAUUUUGUUGCAAAUGUUCUUAUCGAAGAUCGGAGUAUCACAGACAUGCUUCGAGAUAGCAUUGACAAGGUCUUCAAGCAAAGAUCAGACCUUGGAUACACAAAGGAUCCAUCAGGAAAAACUUAUUAAACAAGUCAUUCAAUUUCCUCAUGGAAGAAUGGUUAACCUUGUUAAAAAGGAAACUAUAACACUAGGUCCUCCGGCCAGGUGUGCUAGGCAUGACAUCACCUUACCAAGUCAUAUGAGGACCAAUGUUAUAACUCCUGAAAAUGUGCUCCAACCAUCAUAUCUGACCGGGAUUCAUAUCUGAUUAGUGUUAGGAUAUCUCAAACUCGGGACACCUGAGAAGAAAAGAUGCAACACAAAUUGACGAGAUGACCAUGUAAGAUUCUCGGGAAAUGAACUAUGGGAGCAAGUUCCGAAACAAGAGCUCAUCAUUAAAUCAAGGAGAGGAUGAGGGGGUAGCUGAUGGAAUCAGCGAGAAUCCUCGAGAUUUCCAAAAAGGUGGAUUUCCACAGUUAUGUGAACAAGGAGACAACAUUUGUCGGAUCAAAUGAUAAAAUGGUGUAUGCUCGAGGAGAACAUACACAGUUAAACAUUGGAUGAGAGGUGCACCCGAAAUAUGGGCUGCGUUGCACGACCAACGUCGGAAUGAUGAUUCAAUAAUCAAUAGUGUAAGAAUGAACGGCCGACCAUUAACUUCAAAGCAAUAGGGUUGCUAGAAGGGCAGAAUCCAAACAGCACCGCUCACUUGUUGGUCCCCCGAUUGGAAUCAACACGAGGACCCAAGAAGAAUGGUGAUGGUGAAAAGUUUCACCAUACCAAGAAUUCUUAAGAGGUGGUGAAAUUCUCACAACAUUGAUGACAUAAGAGAUGUUAAUGUUCCAAGGUAAGGGAGAACAAUUGCUGGAUAGCAAGGAACUCAAGGUAUAACAUCAAACACGAAUAAGCUUGUGUUGGCAGGAAGGCAAUAAAGUGGUCGAAGAUAACGCAGAUCAUCAAGGGCAAGGAUGGUAUUUCUCAUCAUGAACUCAUUUGAUAUCCUGGAAGAGCUCAUGAGGUUGAUGAUGAUCACGACACACUUUGUCGAGAGAUUUCAAGAUGUAAUCGAUCGGCGAUGACAUCAAGUCAAAUGAAUGGUAAAGCAAAAGGUUAUUGGAACCAAGGGUACAACACAAACUCGAAACCAAGCUUGUUGUCCAAGGCGAAAUGAUAUGAUGAGGAAGAUCAACGUAAGCUUAGCUCAUCGUCAAUUAAUUGUGCUACGGGAAGAAGGACCGGGUAGCACAGUUAAAAUUUAACAUGGUAAUGAUAUAGCCGAUCAGGCUAGGAAUGACUUGAAGGAUUAUUAAACUCAUAAUCAACGGAGAUUACUUUAUUGAAUCGGAGUGCGGAAUUGAUUCACUUAUCAAUGUCCUUGAGUGUCUAACAACUCAGAACCCGGGGAAAAUUGGAAUCAGUGAGAUAUAAUACUUGAAGAACUCAUAAUAAGUUAUGCAGUUCCAUGAUAUUCUUGAGAUACCAGAGUUUAAUACUCAAUGGUAGAGCAAAGUAAAGGUUGGACAGGUGCAAUGGUCUGCAGAAGACAAGUACUUCAACUUGUCCAAGAAAUGGUAUUUUAAAAGGAGAACAUGGCCGGAACCACGAUUGCAAAAGGCCGAAUCCCAGAUAUAAGAACUUAUACCAAAGAGGGUUUAAGAGGAGCAUCCAUGAUAAGAUUAGCAUCGUGUCCAUGGGCAUGAACACAAAGUUCAAGGUCGACUCCCACUUCUCCAAUGCAUGACCAUUCAUUCACUUCUCUAUUAAAAUGAGUUGAUUGUGAAACCUACCUAGUGAAUUACCAGAGGAGUAUGACCCGUGAAAAAUUUCGGGUUCACACAGAUUAAGGAAGGCAUAUGUUCAACCCCUUGGGGCAUCGUGGAAACAUAUACCACAAGCUUCAAUAGUAAAUAUCACCAGCUCGAAAGCAGAGCAUGGUUGGCCAAAUCAGAGAAUAGGAUUUACCAACGACAUUAUGUAUCAGGGAAAGAACUUCCAAAGUGAUUGAAUAUGAGGGACGUUGUCGGGUAAAAUCCAACAAAGGAUCCGAUGGUUCUCAAGGGAUCUGAUGUAAGCAUCGGUACUCAAACAGAGGAAGAAACAAUGCAAAGGCAUUUGAUUCUAGAAACAACUAACUAAUUAAAGCUUAAUGCAAAGAAAUUUUAUGAUUUCCAAAUCAAGGGAUCAGAAGCAAUCGUUCUGAUUGAAAAAUGAAUAAGUUCAAUAGACUUACAAGCACAACCGAUCAAGGCAUUGAUUGGUCAAGAACCAACUCAUGUUUAAAAUGACGUCUGAGCCAAAAAGAUAAUUUAAAAGGAUCAACUGAUGAUUGCGUGCAUUCGCACUCAUGUUGAAUCAAAAGGAUCAAAAUGACGGUGCCUAAGGAUACUAACAAAUAUUGCCAGACAUAUGGAAAGCAUCCAUCAUGCAACUAGAUCAGUAUUGCAGAGCAAUAAGCUACUAAGGAUUUUUGGAGGAUCGAAUAGUAUUUCGGAGACCAUUGUGAAACACAUGAACAACUGGGGGAUGAGCGGAUACUCGAUAAGUGCGAGAAUUAUCCGUAGGGGUAUUCAGGUGACAAGGAACAGCAAGGCAGUAAGCUCAAAGGAUUAUCGAAACAACGACGGGUGUUUCGGGGUGUCUUGUAAUAACAAGACCAACCGGGGAUUAAUGUAAGAAUAACAACUGCAAGUAGUUAUCUAUAAGGGUUGACGGUGGAAGGGGAAUUGCAAACGCGAUGAACACAAGUUCUCGGGUUAAUAGCGGAGAGCAUCUUCAGGGUCUUCAUGUGUAGCAGAUGAUCAUCAGUAUUAAGGGACUCUCCAGGUGAAAGUGAUAACGAGAUCCUAAUGUUAGAUUUAGCAAAAUUCAUUUAACCCGAAUAGAAGAGAGAUCAGAGUCCCAGAGUAUAGACAAGGAGUAAAAGAUCCUAAUAUCACCCAAUGGCGACGUGGGCCCGUAAGGCACACAGCCAUGUUAGUAAAAGUUUUGCAAUGACUAGACUCGACUUCGGCCAAGGAGUAUGGAAGGGGGAUUCCUACAGGCAGUCGGCUCUGAUACCAACUUGUGACGCCCCCGAUUCAAUCGUACACUAAUCAUGCACGCAAACGUGUACGAUCAAGAUCAGGGACUCACGGGAAGAUAUCACAACACAACUCUAAAACAUAAAUAAGUCAUACAAGCAUCAUAAUACAAGCCAGGGGCCUCGAGGGCUCGAAUACAAAUGCUCGAUCAUAGACGAGUCAGCGGAAGCAACAAUAUCUGAGUACAGACAUAAGUUAAACAAGUUUGCCUUAAGAAGGCUAGCACAAACUGGGAUACAAAUCGAAAGAGGCGCAGGCCUCCUGCCUGGGAUCCUCCUAAACUACUCCUGGUCGUCGUCAGCGGGCUGCACGUAGUAGUAGGCACCUCCAGCGUAGUAGGAGUCGUCGUUGAAGGUGGCAUCUGGCUCCUGGACUCCAGCAUCUGGUUGCGACAACCAGAAAGAAAGGAAAGGGGGAAAGGGGGGAAGAAAGCAACCGUGAGUACUCAUCCAAAGUACUCGCAAGCAAGGAACUACACUACAUAUGCAUGGGUAUAUGUGUAAGGAGGCCAUAUCAGUGGACUGAACUGCAGAAUGCCAGAAUAAGAGGGGGAUAGCUAGUCCUAUCGAAGACUAUGCUUCUGGCAGCCUCCGUCUCGCAGCAUGUAGAAGAGAGUAGAUUGAAGUCCUCCAAGUAGCAUCUCCAAGUAGCAUCUCCAAGUAGCAUCUCCAAGUAGCAUCGCAUAGCAUAAUCCUACCCGGCGAUCCUCCCCUCGUCGCCCUGUGGAAAAGCGAUCACCGGGUUGUCUGUGGAACUUGGAAGGGUGUGUUUUAUUAAGUAUCCGGUUCUAGUUGUCAUAAGGUCAAGGUACAACUCCAAGUCGUCCUGUUACCGAAGAUCACGGCCAUUCGAAUAGAUUAACUUCCCUGCAGGGGUGCACCACAUAACCCAACACGCUCGAUCCCAUUUGGCCGGACACACUUUCCUGGGUCAUGCCCGGCCUCAGAAGAUCAACAUGUCGCAGCCCCACCUAGGCACAACAGAGAGGUCAGCACGUCGGUCUAAACCUAAGCACACAGGGGUCUGGGCCCAUCGCCCUUAGCACACCUGCAUGUUGCGUACGCGGCCGGUGAGCAGACCUAGGAACCUCCAUUACAAAGGAAGUUGCGUUAACGCAGUCCAACCCGGCGCGCGCCGCUCAGUCGCUGACGUCAAGAAGGCUUCGGCUGAUACCACGACGCCGGGAUACCCAUAACUACUCCCACGUAGAUGGUUAGUGCGUAUAGACCAAAUGGCCAGACUCAGAUCAAAUACCAGAUCUCGUUAAGCGUGUUAAGUAUCCGCGAACGCCGAACAGGGCCAGGCCCACCUGUCUCCUAGGUGGUCUCAACCUGCCCUGUCGCUCCGCCACAAAGUAACAGUCGGGGGCCGUCGGGAACCCAGGCCCACCUCUACCGGGAUGGAGCCACCUGUCCUUUCAGCCCCCUCAUCAGAAUCACUUGCGGGUACUCAUCGAGCUGACCCAACUUUAGUCACCAUCUGUAUAGUAUGUAUGUAUGUAUAGUAUAUACCCGUGAUCACCUCCCGAGUGAUCCCGGCCCAAUAGUAUAGCAAGGCAGACUGACAAGAAUGUAGGGCCAAUGAUGAUAAACUAGCAUCCUAUACUAAGUAUUUAGGAUUGCAGGUAAGGUAUCAACAGAUGUAGCAACAAUGUCAGGUUAUGCAUCAGAAUAGGAUUAACGGAAAGCAGUAACAUGCUACACUACUCUAAUGCAAGCAGUAUAGAGGAGAAUAGGCGAUAUCUGGUGAUCAAGGGGGGGCUUGCCUGGUUGCUCAGACAAGGAGGGGUUGUCGGUGACGUAGUCGACCAUAGGGGCAUCAGCAUCGUCAUGGGGUCUAUCGGAGAGAAGAGGGGGGAGAAACAGUAAAUACAUAGCAAGCAAGUGCAUAACAGUACAACAAGCAGAGCUAGACGUGUUCUAACGCGGUAUGAGGUGAUACCGGUGAAGGGGGGAAACAUCCGGGAAAGUAUCCCCGGUGUUCCGUGUUUCCGGACAGAUGAACCGGUGGUGAAAUGUUGCAGGUUCACUAUGCUAGGGACGCGUGGCGGACGAACGGGCUGCGUUUUCGGGUUCGUCUCAUUGUUCUGAGCAACUUUCAUGUACAACGUAUUUUCAUCCGAGCUACGGUUUAUUUUAUAUUAAUUUUAAAAGGAUUUUAUCAUUUUCUAGAAUUAACAGAAUUAAUUUAAUCCUCUAAUGCAUUUAUGACGUCAUCAUGACGUCAGCGGUCAACUCUGGCUGUUGACCUGGUCAACCUGACAUGUGGGUCCCGCAUGUCAUACUCUGUUUAUUCUAAUUAGGAUUUAACUAAUCUAAUUAAUGUUUAAUUAAUUAACAAUAGUUAAUUAGGUGAACUAAACAUGAUUAGUUAAGUUAAUUAAUUUAGUUUAUUUAUUUAUUUAUUUAUUUUUAUUAUUUUUUUAUUCUAAUCUGGGGCUGGCCCCACUGGUCAGGGACCCAGCCCAACCGGGGCGGGCGAACGGGAAACGGGCGCAGUUGAGCGCCCGAUUGGGCGCAGCGAGGCGAGGAUGUGGCCACGGCGGGGCGACGGGCGAGUAGUGGGGCGGCGGACGAGCAGCGGGGGGAGGCAACAGUGACCGCGUGCAGCGGUGGUCGGGGCUGACGGGCACGGCGGGACGUGUGUGUGAAGGCCACAGCCAGGGGGCGCGCCCUGGCGCGAGCGUGUGUGUGCGCGACCGGUGGUGGUGAGCACGAGCGCCUAGCGAGCUCUCGUUGCGGCUGUCUGGCGAACUCCGGCGACGAAGAAACAGAAAAGGGGGAAACAAGGAGAUCGAGGAGGAGGCUCACAUCGAGCGGCAGGGAACGAGGCAGCGGGGCGCGAGGAGGGUGACGGGGACGACGGUGUCGGAGUGGAGGCAGGCCGUCGAGGAAGACGGGGCCGGUCCAGCAACAGGGUCGGGGAGGCGACAGGAGGCGUGGGGCAUCGACUGCCCAGACCGGAUCCACGCGCGGCAGAAGCUUUGAGGAGGAGGGCGCCGGCGACGAAGGGGUCAGCGCGGCGGCGGAGACGCGGUCGUCGGAGGCAAGCGCGGUCGUGCCCUGAUCCAGAUUGGAUCGGGGGGAGNNNNNNNNNNNNNNNNNNNNNNNNNNNNNNNNNNNNNNNNNNNNNNNNNNNNNNNNNNNNNNNNNNNNNNNNNNNNNNNNNNNNNNNNNNNNNNNNNNNNNNNNNNNNNNNNNNNNNNNNNNNNNNNNNNNNNNNNNNNNNNNNNNNNNNNNNNNNNNNNNNNNNNNNNNNNNNNNNNNNNNNNNNNNNNNNNNNNNNNNNNNNNNNNNNNNNNNNNNNNNNNNNNNNNNNNNNNNNNNNNNNNNNNNNNNNNNNNNNNNNNNNNNNNNNNNNNNNNNNNNNNNNNNNNNNNNNNNNNNNNNNNNNNNNNNNNNNNNNNNNNNNNNNNNNNNNNNNNNNNNNNNNNNNNNNCGAGGGGGAGAGAUCGGGGGGGUGGUGAACGUGGGGAGUGGACCGGUUAGGGUUCCAGUCGGGGUGGGGGUUAAGGGGCCAUGGGGGUGGGCCGGCCUGGCAGGGACUUGGCCCAGUUGGGCCGGGGGCUGCUGGGCCGGAGCCCCGGGGGGGUUCUUUCCUUUUUUUGUGUGUGUGUUAGUUCUGUUUCUGUUUUGAUUCCUUUUCUUAUUUUCUUUUCUGUUUCAUUUCUAGCUUCUUUUAAUUUUUAGUUCUUACAAAAAUCACCACUAGUACCUAAAGUAGUAUUUAUAAACAAACUGCUGUCACAUCAAUUCUUAACCCAUAAUAAAAUAUUAUUAAUAUUUUAUAAAAUCCAAUAUGUAUUUGUUUAAUUGUUUUCACUACUGUUUUAAUUAGUUUAGAGCCCUUAAACAUUUUAUCAAGGUUUGGUUUCUCCAUCGUAUUUACACAUGAUUUAUCUGACCCACCUUGAACAUUUUGGUUUCAUUGUUUCAAAACUUUUAUUAUUUGCCUUUAAUUGAAUUUGAAUUUGAAUCGGUUUCGGACUAACACGAGAUUAGCGAUAGUAAUCGAAGUGACGUGGCAUCAUUAGUAGAGAAUUACUGUAGCUUAAUUAUCCGGGCGUCACACCCAAACAUAUUGGGUCCGAAGUAGUAAGCACAACCACAAUACAUAGGGCAAACUCCACAAUAAGUAUGUGCAAAAGGAUAUGAAAAUGAAUUUCAUGCACACCUUUAACCAUUAAUUAUAUUAUGGAGUUUACCCUAUAUAGAGGAUCAAGAGAGCAAGCAAGGCAUGAAGAAGUAUAUAAAUAAAUAUGCAUGCACAUGCCUACCAAGAUCCAAGGAGAUACAAUUUUGGACAAGAGAACACUUAAACAAAGAAUACUCCAAAAAUAACAUAAAGCAUUCAAGUUGUUCAAAUUAUAUCAAAGAGACGAAUCCACACAGGACCGCAAGAAAAGUACAACAUAUGAACUAAGCAAAAACCAAAGAGCAUAUAGGAUAUACAUUACACACAUGCUCAAAGGCUUAUAUCACUCAAGUAGAUAAUAGAUAGUACAAGGAGUGAGAUAAGGCAAGUUGAAGCACAAGCCGAGAAGAAGAUGAUCAUAAAAUUCUACCACAAGAAGAAAUACCAAUUGGUAUUUGGAAUUAACACUCGGUGGUAGAAUCCGAAGAAGCACAAGAUCAUAACCAACAAACACCCCGUGCGCACGGGGGUCAAAAGACCCCGUGCACACGGGGUAUCCAGGGAGUUAUGCAGUACCCGUGCGCACGGGGGUCAAAAGACCCCGUGCGCACGGGGUACCCAGAGAGUUACGCAACACCCCAUGCGCACGGGGGUCAAAAGACCCCGUGCGCACGGGGUAUCCAGAACUUUUCUGGUGUAACUUUCUGGAUACCACGGCAGGCAUACAACAGAGGCAAAUAACCACCUAAAAGAGAUAACUAAUGGAUACUCUGAGAAACAGAAUUUCAAAUGAGCUUGACAUACCACAUAGUGACUAGAUAAUAUUGAGUAUCAAUACUAUGUGGUAUUUCUCAUAUUCACAUUUUGGGUUUGUGAUGUGCACAAAACAUAACACUCCCCCAUAAUGUGAUGAUCCACUAAUAUCUCGCAAGAGCCAAGCAACAUACAAAUAAGGCUCAAGACAACAAGCAUCACUAUAUGAUGUGCAAUGCAACCUACACAUGCUAGAAAACACAAAUCAAGCAUACUAGGAAGCACAACAUAUAAAUGCACAUGCUAGAUACAAAACCUAAGCAAGCAAGGGGCGAGUAACUUUCAAUGUAAGCAAUACAAAUACAAGUUACCACAAGGAGGAACACUGGAUAGAUAAUAUGAAGAUAAUCCACAUGACUUGGCUCGAACAAAUAAAUGGUGAAUAUUCUUUUCUUCAUGAACUAGCCAAAUCUCCAAUGUCCUCCACACACCUAUUGAUCAAGGUUGAGCUUGAUGGUCCCCAACCAAGUUGGGUCCUAAGAAGUUAGACACAAUAGGCUUGGCAACCCAAAUGGCCUCUUCCAUUUCCAAACCACUUUGGGCGCCAACAAACUUGGCAAACAAAUUGCCAACAACAUCCUUCCUAAGCAAAUAAUGAUCAUUGACUAGAGGAGGCUUAGGGAUGUUACCGUUGGGACAAGAUGAAGAUAUGUGUCCCUUCUCACGACAAAUAUAGCAACAUGUGCUCCCCCUUCUCUUCUUUUUUACUUUCUCAAUUUGGGGAGCAUUUCCUUGGUUCAUUAUUGGUAGUGGCCUUUCUUCAGCUUGAGGUUGACCUUGAGAUUGAACUUGAGGUUGACCUUGAGAUUGGACUUGAGGCCGCUUCCCUUGUUGCUUCACAUUUGAAGCCUUCUUCUUCAAUGGACAAGAUCUCACAUGGUGUCCAACAUUCUUGCACUUGAAGCAUGUGAUGUUGGCCGGAUUCUUGACUUGGUCUUGUUCCUUAUUCCUUUUCUCGGACUUCUUGUUGUUGGAGAUGAAACCAAGUCCACCCUUGUCAUGAGGGGAUUUUUGACCACUCAAAAUAUUGUUGAGAGUGGAAUUUCCUUCAUGACACAUUUCCAAGUCUUUCUUCAAAAUAGUGACUUGAGCCUUGAGCUCUUUGUUUUCCUCUACAAGGUUAGUAUCAACAAAAGUACUAGAGAAGUAGAAACUUCAUUAUUAGAGCAACAAGGCAAUGAGAGCAAUUCAUCACAAGAAUCAGCUAUAAUAUUUCUAGAUGAAUUACUAGGACUAGCACAUGUCAAUAAAUCAUUUUGAGUAAAUAUAGUGCUAAUGUCCACAUGAGGCUCACGAGAUGUUACCUUAGUCACAAUAGCCUCAUGAGCUAACUUUAGCCUUUCAUGGGAGAUUAGAAGGUCAUCAUGAGAGCCCGAGAGCUUUUUAUGACUUUCUUCUAAUUUCCCAUAAUUGCUAGUUAGCAAAACAAGUUGAGCCCUUAGCUCAACAUUCUCCUUCAAGAUAGAUGCUUCACAAGAAGUAGAGUUAGUAGCACAAGCAUCAUUGACAAUAUGAGAGGAGCUAGAAGAAAUUAGAGACUUCACAUGAGUAGCUUGAAGUUCCUCAUAAGACUUAGAGAGUUUGGUGAGCUCUCCUUUGACAUUCUUGUAGACAAGGUCAAGGUGCUCAAAAUCCUCUUUAAGUUGAUCAUGAGCAACUUCAAUCUCUUCUUUAGAAGACUCUAAGUCUCUAAGAGUUUCUAGAGCAUCAAGAAGGUUACAAUCAAGUUUUCCAUUUUGUUCUUGCUCUUCGUGAAGUAAAUCAUUACACUUUCCAAAAUGAGUGAUAAGAUCUUUAAACAUCUCAUAAGUGUUCUUAUUUACCCCACGAAGAGAAUUACCAAUUUCAUAUAUUUCUUGACUCAUAUCCCUAUCACAUUCAUCAUUACUCUCAUCAAUAUCAUUACAAAGAGUAGAUGAUACCUCAGUAUUACCUCUUGCCAUGAGGCACAUGUGAACAUCGGAGGUUGAUGAUGAUUCUUUUGGAGAGGGAGUUUCUUUAUCAUCAAGAGUAGGGUAUCCAUGUCCAUGCUCUUGACACUCAUAGCAUUUCCUCUCCAACAAGGUGAUGUCCUUCUUUGCUCCUCUAGCAAUUUCCUCAUUAAUGAUGUGUGCACUAUUUUCUCUUGUUUCCUCUACAUGGUUAGUCAAACAACAACUAGAGGAAAUAGAAGCACAUAGAUCAUGGAAACAAGGAGUAUCAAGCAUAUCAUCACAAAAGGUAUUCAAGGAAUCUCCAAAUGAUAUGCAUGGACUAUCAGCACAAGAAUGUAAGUCAUUUUUGCUAGAUAUGCUCAAGUCCAUAGAAUCUACAACACUACCAUGUAUACAUGUAAGAUCAUCAAUGUUGAGCACAUCAUCACAAUCAUCACAAAUGAUAUUUUCACUCACCAUGUCAUUACCUUGGGACAUGCCACAUGAUGGUGAGGCGGAAGAAGUUGAAAUGUCCAAGUACACGGAGGAAGAAGCAAUAUGGAGAUCUUCAUGAUUUGAAGAUGUGGAGACCUCCUCGAUUAGCUCCUCCGGAAGAUGAUGAACAUCAACAAGAUUGGACCCACCAUAUAUUUCUUCAAGUUUGGUCCACGUAUCAUGAGCCGUCAGACAAGUCAUGAUAGACUCAAAUACUUUGAGGGAUAUAAACCGGAUUAUGGCAUUCUUAGCACUAUAUCCACAAAGCAUAUCAUCAUUUUCCUCACUAGUUGGAAAAAGGUCGUCCUUCCACGGAGAAGCCCCUACAAGAACAAUUCGCACAAAACAUGGACCCAUGGUCCGAAAAUGACAAAGCAUGUGAAUUUUCCACAAGUGAUAGUUUGUGCCACUAAAACAAAAGGUGUCAUCGUGCACUAUACCACUAGUCGACAUCUUUACUCUCUAGGCGGUGAAGCCUACCAAGGAGAGACCAAAGCUCUGAUACCAAUUGAAAUGAUCUAGAUGACGACUAGAGGGGGGGUGAAUAUGAGUUUUAAAACUUUUACGGAUUUGGCUUUAUCCUAAUGCGGAAUUAAACUAACGGAUACUUUUCAAGCACAAAUCCCAAAAAUGCUAGGCUCAACUAAGUGCACCAACAACCUAUGAUAAACAAGAUAGGCAAUUAAGCAAACUAGCAAGCACAAACUAUAUCACAAGAUAUGGAAAUGGAGGAACAACUAAGCAAUUCAACUAUCACAAGAUAUAUCAAUAUGGGCAAGUAUGAAUUGCAGAAAGUAAAGGGUGUGGGUAUGAGAUAACCACAAGUGAGUCGGCGACGCGGAUUUAUCCCGAAGUUCACACUCGUGAGAGUGCUAAUCUCCGUUAGAGCGGUGCCUUAGCCAAAGCUCCGGGGCGUCACCAAGUGACUCACCGUAUUCUCCCUUUCAAGUCACCCCCAACGGAUGAGCCUCGAUUCACUCGGGGUUGGUCUUGAAGGCGACCACCACACCUUUACAAACCUCUCCGGAGCACACCACAACCACGGAAGCUUCCGGAGGAACUUGACCACCUAGGCCACUUGAACACCCUUCCUCAGAGCACACCACAAAAGGAAGCUUCCGGGAGAACCUUGGCCACAUAGGCCUCUUCACAAUCUUCUCAAUAUAUCACCAAACCGUCUAGGAGGCGAAGCCUCCAAAGUAAUAAACUCACGGGCUCUCACACGAACAAAUCGAUGCGGGGAGCUCAAACCAAUGCAACAAAUGCAAUGCAAGGUCAAGCAACAAAUGCUCAACUCACUCUCUCAAUCUCACAAGAUGCAACUCAAGAAAGUGGGAGAUUGAAGAGAGGGGAUGCAAUGGAGGAAAUCAACAAAUGACUCGAAGAUCCAUCCAAAAAUCACCCUUCACUUAGAAGGGAGAUAGGGGUUUGGGAGAGGAGGUAAGAGGCUCAAAAUGAUGUUUAGAAUGUGAAUGAACAACCCCCAAACCGGUGGGAGGAAGGGCUCUUUUAUAGCCAACUUCCAAAACUAGCCGUUGGGGCUCCAACGGGCACUUCCUGGACACCCCGUGCCCACAGGGUCCCGUGCGCACGGUACAGGCCCGUGUGCACGGGGCCCCGUGCCCACGGGGGUCAAAAACCCCGUGUCCACGAGGUACCCAGAACAGCCUGCAGCAGCCCACUAAAACAGUGAUAACUUUGGCAUACGGACUCCAAAUUCGAUGAUCUUGGGCUUGUUUUGAAGCUAUGGAAAAGCCCAGGGUCCUCACAUAGAGAACCACCCAAGAUCAACAAUAAAUAAUGAUGCAAGUAAUGCAAAGGUUUGAGCUCUCUACAUGCGACAUGAUCAAGCUACUUGCCCGAGAGUCCCUCUUGAUAGUACGGCUAUCAAAUCUAUAAUCCGGUCUCCCUCCAAGCACCAUGAGACCGGCAAAACUAGGAAAACCUAGCUAAGGUAUACCUUUGCCUUGCAUAUUCAACUUGAGCUUGGUGAUGACUCCAAUGCUUGUCUCAAGUUGGAAUCCCUUUCUUGUCCACAACCACUUGGUGAAGAUGCUUGAAUUGAUUCCUCAUAUUGCAAUGAGGGAAGCCUUAACUUAAGCCCAUCUUCACAUGAGCAUUAUCAUGAUGUGGACCGCAAGCUUCAAAGCAUAUAACCUCCGGCUUCUCAUCUUGCACUUGGAAUCCUCGAACCCGAUGACCAUCACCACUUGAUGUCAUCCACACAUAGGCUACUUGAGAUCUUUCCUUUUGAUGCAAGCCCAUGAGAAACACCUAACCCACAUAGACAUACCAAACACAUAGCAUGGGUUAGGUAACAAAGCACAAUUCACAAUUACUUACCAUACCACUAGAUCACUUGAUCUCACGUGGUACAAUGUUUGUGCUUUGAGAGUUCACCACUUAGAUAUAAUCUUUGAGCUUCAUCUUGGUCAACCAACAUCUUUACUCGAAGCUCCAUCUUGGUUUCUUGAAAGCCACAAUGAACUCUUCAUUUCCCUUAAUUGCUUCAAGACUAUAUCACCAAAGACUCUUCCAUGACCAUAUCAAGUUCCAAUAUGAAUAUCAUCUUGGUCACCACUUGCCCCUCUAAAAACUCCAUCACAAUCUCUUGAGAGGCAUAAUGAAUUUGUCACUCUAGUUGCUUGCUUCAAGACUUGAUCAACCGAAACCCAACACAUGAUCUCACCAUGAUCUUGUCUUGAGACCAUAACUUGAAUUCUUCUCUUUGAUUACUCUCUCUCUCAAGCCUUGAUCCUUAGAAGCCCAAAUAUAUCAAUCUUUGAGAUCAUCCAAUGCACUCCAUCAUGAACAUAAUUAGAUUAGGCAUUGAAACCAAUCUUGAUGGCUUCAAUAGAAGUACCCGAAGACCAACUUGAAACCUCACUGGAUAUGGGAUCUCGAGAGCCAACACCUAGGCCAAGUAAGCAUGGGGUAUCCAGAAGUUGACACUCGACCCCGUGCGCACGGUACAAGCCCGUGUGCACGGGGUAUCCAGAGAAGGAUACCAUGAGGACUUCUUCGGAUGCUUUGAUAGCAGACUUCACAAAACAGCCCAAUGCACUUCAAGCAUCACUAUGGAACAUAUCUUCAUAUAAGAUUCAAUGCACUUGAUGCUCCAUAGGAAUUGUCAUUUAGUACCAAAGCAUAGGGCAAAUAUAUCUUCAUAUAUAUGGACUUCAUCCUUGAUUCUGUCCAAUAUCCUUGAGGCACUAUCUUCAUAUAUAUAUAUAUAUGGACUUCAUCCUUGAUUCCGUCCACUAUCCUUGAGGCACUAUCUUCAUAUAUAUGGACUUCAUCCUUGAUUCCGUCCAAUAUCCUUGAGGCACUAUCUAUGGACAAAACCUUCAAAUAUAUCUCACUGAAAACAUUAGUCCAUAGAGAUUGUCAUUUAAUUACCAAAACCACACUUAGGGGCUACAUGCCCUUUCAGCAGGGUUAGCACGAAGAACAACACUGUCGAACGCGAGGAGUUGGCUGGGGACAAAGAUGUCCCUGCAGUCGAUGUUGUUAUUGAUCUGGAGGCGAGCCAUCGUUCUUUUAUGACCACAUAGCGGGACCUGCAUGGACCACCAAUGUCGGUACUAAAACCGGCAAAUCUCGGGUAGGGGGUCCCGAGCUGUGGAUCUAAAACGAUGGGUAACAAGAGACAAGGGACAUGAUGUUUUACCGUUCGGGCCCUCUCAAAUAGGUAAAACCCUACGUCCUGCUUUGAUUAUAUUGAUGAUGGAGUAUCAGUACAGGAUGAUCUACCUCGAGGUCGUAUGUUGUGUUCGAUACUCUAAGGCUGGUAAUUGUAAUUAUGCCUCUACGGAGUAAAACCCCAUGGUUUAUAUAGGCACCGGGGAGAUCUAGGGUUACAUAUGGUUUGUUACCAACUAGGAAUAAACACGCGGACAACUGGAGUUAUCCUUGAAGUAUACGCCAAGUCUUUGGCAGUGUCCAUCUUGAUCACGCCUGGGUUCGAGGCUUCCAGAGUCCUUGCUUAUUGAGAUCGGCGGGCCGUAAGAUCAACCCAUGGACUGCAUACCAACUAGGUUGGUACCCCCUAGUGCAGGACAACCCUAAGCGAUGGAUAUGGCAACAUAGUUUUGUUUCUUAGAUGCCCGGCAAGUCCGGAGGUGGACUUGUUAUCUAGUACCUUGUAACUUGCAUCGUUCAAAUAUGAAAAACCCAAAAUUCAAAGGCCGCACCCUAGAAUAUCAAAGCCCUAAUUUGGUUAUUUAAAAAUGUUACACUACACAUUAUCAUGAGUCCACAUUUAUAACCCAUAUUGCCAACAAAAUACUCUGAUUUCAUACUUAAAAUCCUACUCUCCAUCAUAUUUUUCCAGAUGUCUAUAUAUAGUAGACAUUUAUAACAUACUUCAAAAAGAUUUACCCGAGGGAGUAUAAAUACCGCACCUUUAGCCCAGGCUAAACAAAAGCAAAGUGAGAGAAGUCAUCUACAACAUUAUUUACAAAUAGAGAGGGGAAAAGAGGAUGGAGAAGAUAGGGGAAUUGAAUAGCAUUCUUGUUCAUGUGUACCGCACAAACUUCAUCCACCUAGCCUUCGUGCUCCUGUAUCCUCCAGACCCCCCUGAAACCCUAACCACCUUUCCUGACUAAAUAUUUCCAUCGUUCUCAUAUUCGGGCGGCACGCGAACUCCUCUUUGGUCCCUUGAUGGCGCCAGGGGGUGCAGAUGGAAAUAGGGCGAUGGUUGCUCGACAUCGGAGCAUGCUUCGUCUCGUACCUAGAGUCCAAUAGUGGGGUUCUUUUGUUACUCGAGGUGAGCAUACCGACAAACUUGAACAUCCGCCCUGGCUUUGCCUAUUAUCAUUAUUCUUACAUCCACCAGUUUUUACUUUCUAGAUGAAGGUAGAGGUAUGUUGCCCCGGGGCCCUAUAUAGAACCGAUGCACAAAGCCACAAAAAAGUGCCUAGUUUUGGUUAGGUAGUCACAAAGACGGGGUUACCCAUGCUAAUAUCUAUUGUUAAUCUUUAUAUGUACUUUGUAGUCUACCCUUGCUAAGUUACUCAUGUAACUUGGGUUGCAAGAAGUGGUUGCUAUUUUGAUUGAUAUAAUCCUAGAUUUGUUGCAGACAUCUGGUUGUCCAGGGUGGUCCAGCCGUCGCCUGAGAGUAUGACAAUGCUCUUCAACCCAUGACGAAUGCUUUCAUUAGAAUGGAUCUACUAAACCACCCUCACUUGGGCGGCUUUAAUUGGUAUCGUCAGUUGCUUAACAAAGAUUACCAGGGUCUUCGCACUAGAGGUCCCAUGUGAGGAUGAGGGUGAGUCUUCUUCUCAUGUUGAAAUAGCGUGGACCACAUGCACCUUCCCUUCUUGUUUACGUGGCUUCAGGUGUGUUUACACUAGUUGUGAACACUUUCUGUAAGUUGGUGUUUGCAAAGAGGGGUUUGAUGCUUGAGCCCAUUGCUAUGGUCAUGUCAUUUUUUAUGUUAGAUCUUGACUGUGAUGACAUCAAGACAAAUAAUGUGACUUUUGCAAUGGUUCUGAGCACCGAAACCCUCUUUGCAACAAGGGGCCUUACAUAUCAUUCAAUUUGGUGAAAGAAUUUAUAACAACCGUAUUCACUUUCUCGAGCCAUGUAAAUAAGAAGGUUAAUCACGUGUAGUGUAGACGGCAUCGUUUUUAUCGUGAGAGAAAGACUCGCCUUGAUAUCCAAUCUUACACGGCACGCGAGUCAUCAUCCUAAAGCUAUGCAUUGGUCAUACCCUCACGAGUCACGAGGGUGUUCUAGUGGAUCCAUUUUGUAAUAAUCACAGCAAAGCAAUAGCCAAGAAUGUGACAUCACGUGUGAUCCUUUUCAUGGAUCAUCUGUUGAUAGCGAGUGAAUGCCUUUCAACAUCACCGUCGCUCAAUGCCGGCAAAUCAAAUCAGAAAAUCAUCACGGCCUUUCCCUUUCCCUUCCACUUCCUCUCGGAGAUUCCCAUUCUCUGAUGAACUCCGGCGUCUGUGUCUGCACAAUGCCCUGACUUUUCGAGGACACAAGCGUUUCUUCUCGUUAGUGUAGAAACAAUUUGCGACUUGCGAGUCGAAGUCAAACCAAACACCGGGAGACCCGUCGAACACUUCGCCUCGUGCUCAGCUACUGCUAGCCAGUCAGCUCACCAAGAAAAUAUACGCAUCUCGUGCUCGUCGGCCUCUCCCGGCGGCCAACCGCCCGGUCGCCGCGGCUCGCAUUCCUGCCGCGCGGUUUCCGGUGGCUUCGCCGCAGAUCCCCAAGAAGCCUCGGAAGAAAUUGUUCCUCGAGGGCUGCUGUUCCUAUGAUGGAUCCCGACGCCAAGGAGGGCGGGCCACUCGAAGAAGCUGGCGGCGCCGGUGCCGAGAGUGGUCCCCGCGACGGCGGCGCUGAAUGCGGCGUCGCCUCUCCCUUCCGCUGGCUGCGGCGGCUCUCCCGCGAGCUGCACUGGAGCUUCGUGCUCGCCGUCUUCGCCGUCUACGGGGCCUGCCAGGGCGUGGGCAACGCCGUCGGGGUGGUCGCCGCCUCGUACUACAGCAAGGACGUGCUGCGCCUCCAGCCGUCAGCGGCGCAGUUCUACCAGGGCAUCGUCGACUCGCCGUGGGUCGUCAAGCCCAUCUGGGGCCUGCUCACCGACGUCGUGCCCGUCGCCGGGUACCGCCGCCGCCCCUACUUCCUUCUCGCAGGUGAAAAGAUUGGGGAUCUCUUCUUGAUUCCACCACACACACACACAGACACACACACACACACACACACACACACACACAGGCAGACUCAACAUCAUUUUCAGGGUUGGCAUCCUGAUGCUCUGUGUUCUGAGGUUAAUGCAGGCGUGAUUGGCGCCACAUCUAUGCUUAUGAUUUCCCUGCAAAGCAAUCUGGGGCUCAUACCGGCGGUUCUAGCCCUCACGGCGCAGAGCGCAGGCGCGGCGAUAGCCGACGUGACGCUGGACGCCCUGGUUGCGCAGAACAGCAUAACACACCCGCCCCUCGCCGCCGACAUGCAGAGCCUGUGUGGGUUCUGCUCCUCAUUUGGGUCAUUGAUUGGGUACUCCAUCAGCGGCCUUCUUGUCCACUCCAUGGGAGCCCAGGUCCGUUGGGUCUCCUGUUAAGCUAGCAUAUACUCCCUCCGUUCCAAAAUAGAUGACUCUAGUCAUCUAUUUUGGAACGGAGGGAGUAUAUGCUAUCAAUCCUUGUUCCUCACAUGCCGCAGCAUGCGAAUUCGAUGUUCUCGGAGAAUGAUAUGUCUUGUGCUUGUUGUUUGAAGGGGGCUCUUGGCUUGUUGAGCAUCCCCUCAGCACUGGUGUUCUCAGCUGGGAUUCUGCUGAAGGAGAGCCGAGUGACAAACUUCAGUUACAAGCAGGUCAGACAGCACACUCAACCUUUUUGUUGGGUUGAAUUGCUGAAUGCAGUCUUUGCACACUAAUGACAUUUAAGGCCUUUGCUAAAUCAGGUUCAUAAGAAGUUCUACAAAGCAAUUCAGUCAAUGGGGACAACACUGAAGUGCCCUGAAGUCUGGCGGCCGUGUUUGUACAUAUAUGUUUCGCUCAAUCUAAGCCUGGACAUCCAAGGAGGAAUGUUCUACUGGUACACAGAUCGACUAACUGGACCAGGGUUUUCUGAGGUGUGCACAUAUCAUCAUCACAGACUAGGAAUCUAAAAGGAUAAAAACAUGGCAUUAAUGGUUAAAUCUCUAUAGGCAGGUGGUGUUUCAAACAGAUGCCUGGCCACUUUGAUACCACAUAAUUUCUUUAUGUAGGAUCCAUAAGUAGAUGGACAUGGUAUUUGUGCACUAUAUCUUAAUAUAGCUAAAGCAAUGUAAAUUCAAAUUCAACUAAUAAGCUUCUGAAGAUGGCAUGCCAAUCUGCUCAAAUGUUCCAAAAUAGCAGUCCCAAUCAGAUCCUAACCAAACUUGCAUGGAUGUGCUAUAGGUUACACUGAGAUUUAUGAUACUCAAUUGUUGCCAAAGAAACUCAUGGAACAUUUGCAUUGUCACAGGAAUUUAUUGGUGUAAUCUAUGCAGUCGGUGCAGUGGGUUCACUACUCGGGGUUGUGCUAUACCAAAGUGCUCUGAAGGACUACAAUUUCCGCAGCAUGCUUUUAUGGGGUCAGGUGCUGUCAAGCCUGACAGGGAUGCUUGAUCUAGCGCUAGUGACCCGACUAAACACGAAGGUCGGCAUACCAGACUACGUUUUCGCGGUGAUCGACUGCGGCGUUUCUGUAAUGGUCGGCAAGCUUCAGUGGAUGCCGGUUCUCGUGCUUUGCUCCAAGCUUUGCCCUCCGGGCAUCGAAGGAACCUUCUAUGCACUGCUCAUGUCAAUACAAAAUGUGGGGCUGCUUAUGUCUGCCUGGUGGGGUGGCCUGCUGCUGCACACGCUGAAUGUGACUCGAUCGGAGUUCAGUAACCUUUGGGCGGUUGUGUUGAUCAGAAACGUCUCGAGGCUGCUUCCGCUGAUGCUGCUGUUUCUUGUCCCUCAAAGCGACCAGAACUCGACGCUCCUUCCUGCGGAGAUGCUUCACGAUGACGAACCUACAGAAGCUGUCAAGGAUGGAUCGGGCAGCGCUCAGUUUUCCGUCGUUGUUGCGGAUGAUUCAAGUUGUCAUCCUUCCAUUGAGGAUGUUCAAGAUGAGAGAAUCAAAGUGACUGAUGAUGUAGGAGAUGAUGUAGAGCUGAUGCCACUGAUGAACAAGACUAGAACAGUUGGGUGAUCAUCUCAUUCGUAAGAGGGUUGAUUCAUGAUCCAUUUACGCCCUGGCCUUCUGAUUAUACGUUUCGGUAGCUGUCUAGCAAGAUAAUGUUUGCUACAAAAGUAAUGUACACAAUUUCUGUUUAUCUGUAUUUUGUAUAGGUAGAAGCAGCCGAGUAGCAAGUGAAGCAUACAUUUUCUUCUUUCUUUUCUUAAUGUAGAACAAGAUAGAAUAAUACAAUAUCAAUCCAUUCAAUCAUGUAUUGAGCAGUUCCUUUGCCUAUUCAAUGUUUCUUCCCCAUUCCCUUCAGUUGAGUUAAAACCUGUAACUUUCACCAUGGUUAUGGUUGAAAUGUUUGGCGUUUUGAGAAUAUUGUUCUUUGUGGGUGUGAAGUGCUAGUAUUUCAGUACACGUGGUACUCUAUUCUAAACUCCCCACUCCCCAGGGCAUGUGUUUUACCAACCCUGUGUAUCACAGGCACGAGCAGAAUGUAAUGGUGAAAACCGUCUUUUCUUUACCUCAUUUUGGAUGGUAGAGUUGACGGUGAAAAACCGAAGUACAGAUCUAGCAUAUGUUAUGUGGGACAAUUGACAUUGCAUAACAGCAUAAGAGUUUCUAUCUUGAGACACGAGUUCCUCUGCCAAGUUCAUUGACCCGUUGGGGCCAGGGAGGGCCUUGAAUAACUGAAAUUUGAAUGAGGACAAAGUGUUGUCAAAUUUGAAGACAAAGUGAUCACUUUAUUAUCAUACUAAUCGCUCAUCCGUUCAUGGCCAGACACACACAGGCAAGCCUUUCAUUUAUACUACAGUGUCACGUCAGAAAUGGCAGAUAGCAAAUCGAUCAUCUUCUCUCUUACAAUUAGCACAUGAACCCUAGAUCUCUCACACCAACCCGAAACUACAGACAACCGGCAGAUACCACCUUGUACACUUGCUUCUGUUAAUCAGAACCAGCGGCUGGCUAC